UUCAUCAACUUAGUAAAAAUCAUCAAAUUCCCACAACUCAAUUUCCGUGCUCCUUCCCCAUAUCUUCCGAACGAACCACAAAUGUAUUUUGAUCAACAUACAACAACUCAACAAAAUUAGAAAAUUAUUAAACACCUGCACCGCUAAUAUGUAGAGCUAUCAACAAUCAGGAAUCCCAACGACCGGACUUUGAAGACUGCGCACAUAAAAGGGAACAGAAAUUACGCUUGAAUUUUGCUUCUUUUUUUUUUUUGUUAAUCACUAAGAUCUAUGGAAAGUGGCAGAAGGCGUUACCGUCGUCUCAGGCUCCGGCGUGUCGCCGCCUUGCCGUGAAACCACGUCGGCGUUCGCGAAUUGGGGAUCGGUGUCGCGUGAGAAAAGGCCCCUUUGUUUUGAGCCCAGGGAUGAUGGCACAGCUCCACCCUGUCAGGUUGGGCCCUGGAUGCUUUCUAAGCCCACGAGGUUUGGCUCAAAGCUUGACCUCGUCUCAUCUGUAGUUUGGGCUGACACUACUCAUGGGCCUGGAUGUUAGUUAGACCGAUAUGUGCAUGUGCAUGGACAUGCCAUCUGAUUAUUUGAAUGAAUGCGUUCCGGACCACACGACACAUCCGAAUGCGGGCGCUGCGUGCCCAGCAGCAAUUUUUCCAGUACCCAUGCAUUCAACUGGCUACAGGGUCUGCAAAGACAGAUGGCGGCCAAACCGUCAAGGGCGCCGGGAGAUUGUUUGGCCCCUGUCGUCCUGGUCCUGGCGCGUCGUCGUCCUUGGCUAGCUGGCCGCCCUUGGAGCCGAGUGCAGCGCCGGCCCCCCGCGACCACUGCGGACCACCCGCAGCGCGAAAACGAAUCGGCGAACUGCACGUACGGGCGGAUCGGACCCUUGUGCGCGCGGAUCGCGAUGUCUGCCAGGCCAGGCCAGGCCAGUCUGCGCGACGUGGGACGGACGGGGAAUGUGGCUGAAAAGGGAAGCCGAACCGCCGGCUCCGGCGCCACGCGUCCGGCGUGUGCGGUCGAGGGAGGGGCAGGGCACUGUGCGCAUGUACGGCGCCCGGUCAGCCUGAGCUGGACUCCAAUUAACGGCCUUUGUCGCGAGACGGCGAGGUGUGGACGGCCGCCAACUCUCACUCCACGUCAUCAGCUUUGUACUCCUACCGUGCAUGGGCAUGGCGCUGAUGAGGCUCUCAUCGUCUCACGCUUGACAUUGCCUGCGACUGCGAGUAGACACACGGAUGUCAAUGCAUGGAUUUGAAUUACCAAAUGUCUGAAUGAAUUCAACUCAUGCACUUUGAUAUAUAGAUCUUGUUUUAGACGUGCAUAUUCGUUCUCCGGUGGUGAACCAAACGCAUUUGGAUUUGGAAGGCGGAAGGAAACUAUAUAUCCACAAAUCGAUGGGAGUUCCUUGCACACACCGGUGGAGGCAGCGUCAAGCCGUCAACUCAUUGCCAGGAAGCGGCGGCGGACGGCAUCCACACAUACGUUUUGUGUGCCGCUUCCCCUGCACGCCGGGGCUCGUUGCCAUCUACCGCGCUUCUUCUACGACGCCUAGGCCUGAAAACCAAAAAGUUUUCAAGAUUCCCCGUCACAUCGAAUCUUCAAUCUUGUGGCACAUGCAUAAAACAUUAAAUAUAGACGAAAAUAAAAACUAAUUACACAGUUUAGCUGUAAAUCACGAUACGAAUCUUUUGAUCCUAGUUAGUUCAUAAUUGGAUAAUAUUUGUCACAAAGAAACGAAAGUGCUACCGUACCGAAAACUUUUCACUUUUCGGAACUAAACAACGCCCUACUCGUGGACUCUCGUGGUGCAUCAAGGGGGAGCAUCUUCAUCGGUCUCCACGUGAACCUUGUGUACUUCGCGGAGCUCAACCACAGAAUUUUCAAUUUCUUCCAGUGACAUAGAGUUCACUAGUAUUAAUAUUUAAAAUUUAGCAUAAACUGUUCUUACUAAAUACCUCAUAUAGUGAGGAUUGCUUAAUGCCGUUACUAGUAAUAGUAUUUUAUUACUAAUUUAAAAUACUAGAAAAGCUCUACUGUUUUAAAUAGUGUAUUGUGGACAAGUACUAUGACGACCAACGCAUCGGCAUAGGCAUCCUCGUCAAUGUGGCCACGAGUCCGCCUCAUAAGGACAUGACAUCUAUUAAUCUAGGAAAGAAUAUAAAUCUCGUUUUCUGAGGAGUCAAACAGUUUGAAUUUUGACUAAAUUUAUAUAAAAAACUAUCAUUCAUGGUAUAUAAUAAGUAUCAUUAGGUUAGUUAUAAAUUAAGUUUUAUAAAAAAAAUUAUGUUUGAAGAAAUAAAUACUAAUAUUAUUAAUUUACUAUAAACUCGGUCAAACUUGAGUUAUUUUGGCUGACACGGAUCCUAUAAUUGCAUUCUUUCCUGGACGGAGGUAGUACGUUCAUUGAAUAUGAGACGAGCUCAUUCCUAUAUUUACGUAAUAUAUAAUAUGAUUUAAAUCAUGUUUCUAAGCAUGUUUAUUUGUAAAAUUGAGAAUGCUUUGUGAUUUGUGAUUAUAUAUCAAUUUGAUUGUAUGCAAUAUUUAUAUGCCAAUUUGAUUAUAUGAUCUAUGAUCAUUUGUUUAUUCGAUGAUAUGCAUUGUGAAUCUAUGCCAUGAUGAAUUUCAAUUCAUAAAUUAAGGAGUGCAUGUUAUUACAAGACAACUAAAAGGACAUCUCAUUGGUAAUAACUAAUAAGUUGUCUAUCCAGCAGACUCAUGAUUACAUGAAACUAGAAGCACACUCCGCGCGUUGUUGUGUGGAAUUUUAUUCAAAAUAAAUAUAUAUAUUGUGCAUAUAAAUUAAUUUGAUUUGUAUGUUACUUUAUUAUAUCAGAUCUGGUAAAAAAGUUACUAAGCUAAUAGAAGAAAAACCAAUAGAAUAUUUGAUCACAUUAUAGAAGAAUAGUUGAUGAAAUAGAUAUCAUAUGUAAAUGAAUAAUAUAUAUUAGAGAUUAAAAGUAUUGCACAUAAUAGAGAUGUUGUGGGCAUUUCUAUUAUAACUAAUAAGGGAUGAUGUGGCUAAUAGAAGAAAAAUCAAUAGAAUAUUUGAUCAUAUUAUAAAAGAUAGGUGAUAAAACAAAUAGCAUUUGUAAAUGACUUUACGUUAAUAGAUUAGAGAUUGAAAGUAUUGCACAUAAUAGGAUGAUGUUGAUAUUUUUUAAUUAAUAAGGGAUGACGUGGAUAGCUUACAUGAAAGGAUUACAAAUUAGUGGGACACUUAGUGGUGGAAUGAUGUGGACACCUUGCUUGAAGAGAGAAAAGAUUUAGUGAGAUUUAGCUUUAUAAGAUAAGACUAUGUGGACUCAAUGGUGUCGUUAGGCUCUUAGCAGAUCGCUCCAAGUCAUGAAAGCAUUGUGGUGUAUAAAAUUAUACUAUACCAAAAAAACUAUAGAUCCAUAAUAGAAGAAGCAAGAUCAUCUUAGAUUAAAUCUAUGUAAGAGACCUAAUAAGGAACUAGAUAAAGACUUCAAAAGUCGUUUCAUGGCUAAUAGAGCUCACUAAGAUGAGACCAAAGGCUACUUGAUUUGGCAUCUGCUGAAACUGCGCAAUCAUGGGAUAAUAAUAGAAAAAAAAGAACAAUUAAGAUGAGAAAGAUUACAAUAGCUCUUUACUUAGAGUUGAAGCCCAUGCCAAUAAAGGUGCAUCGAAAGAAAUUAUAAUCAAAUAAAUAAAGAGAACUAUUAAAAAAAUAUUUGAAAUAAAAAAUCUAAAUACCAUAAUAAGCAAACUAGCUCCUCGCACUAUUACAGGCCAACUUGAUUGUUUUACAAAUUGCAGAAACAAUCAUACAUUAUUAAACUUGAUAGCAACACAUACUAUUCGUUUUAAAUCCAGUUUUGCUACCAUCUAAUGGUGGGUUUUGUGCAGCAAAAUAUUAAUUUUGGAACCCCAAAAUUGUUUAGUUCAACAUGUUUAUUAAUUAAGAUGGCAACACAAAAUCGUAGAUCAAAAGGGGGGCAAUACCGCUCCCCCUGUUUCGGGUGAUGAAUACUAUAUAUAGCAACGACGAUACUGGACCACUGAUGUCCAGACAGCUUAAUUACAUUCUCAUCAUUAUCGGGGAAAGCCAAAGAAAACGAAAAGAGAACGCUGCCGUUUCUUCUCCUUCAAAAUAUUUUUGAUUGAGGAGAAGGGCGAGCAAAGAAAAAAAAACAAGAAAUAAAGAAAAAACAUCUCUAGCUAGCUUGGUUAAAUUAAUGCCUAAGUCAAACUAUUAUAUCCUCCACAUCAUCGUCAUCGGUCUGACGCCCCUUUCUGUCCACCGUACUGUUCUCCCUCCAUAGUUUGACAGGCAAGCCAUGCUUGGGCACAGGGAAUGGGCUGUACUCGACCUCAUCACUGGAUCCAACAAUCUCCCACCUGCAAAUUAAACAAAAGCAUGCACACGCCAAUCAGUAUCUCAGUGUAUGUAAGUAAGAUCGAUCAACAUAUAUAUAAACAACUCAAACUGUCGUUAUGAAAACUCAUCAGUAUAUAUCUCCCACGUGCUGAUGACGAUGAUGCUCAUAUAGGAGGAGAGGUGCAGUGGGCGAUGGAUCGAGUGGCACCAGCCAUAUGUGUCGUCCUGGUGCACAAGGGUAUGUACAAGCGGAAAUAUAGGGAGAAGCUGCGAGGAGAUGAACGCACCUGUAGGCGGUGACCAGGUGGUGGAUGAGGACCAGCAUCUCGAGCUUGGCCAGCUCGUUCCCGGGGCACGCGUGCACGCCGUUCCCAAAUGGCAGGAACGUGUUCGGCCGCGGCGCCACCUGCAUCAUGUGCAACGUCGUCGUUCCACAAACGACCACAGAAAAAAAAAACGAGGCUGAGAUCAGCAACGUAUUGCGAGCAUCAACGUCAACUACAGCAACGGUGAGGAUCGAGACCGGAUACUGUACCUGGAAUCUAGAAGGGUCGAACUUGUGUGGAUCCUGGAAGUAGUCCGGGCUGUGAUGGAUGCUCCUGAAGAGCGGCAUCACCUUCCACCCCUUGGGGAUAAGGAACCCUAGAACACGCCAAGGGAAAUACAAGGAAGAAUCCGAGUCAGAAUUAAACCCCUCUUGCUAGCUAGUUGCUGCUACGUGCAGAAAAAAAGGAGUGCCAAGCAGCGCCUCUACGGUGACGUAGCUCCACGCCGACCACAGACGACAGGCUAGCUGCAGAAGCAUGCGUGUACGCGCACGUGCGUACCUUUGUACUCCACGUCGGCCACGGCCUCCCUGAAUGUGAAGGAGAUGAUGCUCGCCAUCCUUAAGCUCUCCAAAAUCACCUGAACAGAAUAACGGCGCCAUCAGUAACCACAAGAUAUCCGAAAACACACGCUGUCAGAGGUUUUGUUUGCGUUUUUUCCAGCACGCGCGUACGUACCCUAUGCGUCAGCGCCAUGCUCCUCGUGUGCGCCCACGUCAGCGGCAGCCUACCGCCGUCGGUGGCCUCGCGGACGGCCGCCUGCUCCGCCCGGACGGCCUCCAGGAGCUUGGGGUGGUCGUGGAGGUACUUGACGAUCCAGGUGAGCACGCUGGCCGUCGUGUCCUGCGCCGCGAACAGCACGCCGAUGAUGUUGUCCGCGACCUGCUCGUCGCUCAGGAGCGGCGCGCCGUCGUCGCCCUGGGACUGCAUCAGGCAGCCCAGCAGGUCGGUGCCCGGCUCGCCGCGCUCCCGCCGCUCGCGCAUGAUGUCGCUCAGCACGCCCUGCAGCCGCCGCCGCGCCUACAGUGUUUCCACGGUUUCACAUCAUGCAUGCAUGUCAGGGCACUGCCGUUGCCAAGGCGUACGGUACGGGGACGCCAGAAGGUACUAGAGAUCAGCUGUGCUGUAAAUGCAUGCCGUUGCGUUGCGUGUGCUCACCUGCAUCGCCUUGUAAUAGAGCGUCCCCGGUAGGCUGUUGGGGAAGGAGUUGUACCCCUUCUCCACGAUGGAGUAGUUCUUCCUUAGCUCCGCCUUGCGCCGCUCGUCCAGCCGGCCGCCGCCGAAGAUCAUCACGAUGCCCACAUCAAACGACAGCUGAAACGUAACAAGAGGUUCUCAGACAUCCGAUUCAUUCGACAUUACGGACAUCACCAUUGGCGAUGCAAGCUUGCUUGCUUACCGUCUUCAUGGCGUGGAACGUGCUCCUGACAUGGCCGUCCCAGGAAGCGAGAGUGGAGCGCACGGCGGCCUCGACCUCAGGGACGAGCGCGCGGAGCGCGUCGGGGCCGAGCGCGCCCUGGACGAGCUUGCGGAUGCGGAGGUGGUAGUCGCCCUGGUGGAAGAAGAGCGCCGACGGCCCGAUCAUGCGCUCCUUGCUCCGAGGGUAGGUCGGCUUGAACAGGUGCGCCUGCGUCACCAGGACGAACCGCGCCGCCUCCGGGCUCGCCAGCAUCACGCAGGGGUAACCCAGGAGGUGCGUCUUGAAGAUCUCGCCGUACCUCUUCUGUUUGGAGGCGAAGAAGAUGUUGGGGUCCUGGGAGUAGAGCUGGAGGGUCUCGCCGAGGUAAGGCCAGCCCAUGGAGCCAGGAGGCAGCGACUUCAAGGAAGAAGAAGCCUGCUUCUCAUGGCCGCCGCCGGAGCGGCCUCUCCCCUUCUGCCAGCGUGCGUACUGGAAGUAGUAGGCGAUGGCUAGAAAAAUGAGGGUGCAAGCAAGGAUGAAGAAGAAGGCCAUCCAAUAACUGAUAUGCUUAGAAGCAGAUCAGCUGCUGCGAUUGCAGACUGUCGUUCCGCUGAGUUUUGGUUUGAGCUUGUGGGUUCUGUGUGUGUGUGAGAGCUUGCUUUAUAUGUUGGUGGCUAGGAGGAGAAGAGAUCGAGACUGUCUUGUGUGUGUUGUGAGGAGAGCGCGCGCGCGAGAGAGGGACAGAGAAGAAAAAUCUUGGAUGGACGGAUCUUUCGAAUGGUGGAGGUCGAGGCAACGCCUUGCGUGGUAUUUAUAGAAGGAGCGCUGCUGGCAAGUCUCAAGAGCAUAGGUUAAAGUCAAGACCGGUAUGUGGAGGAUAAGGAUCUCUUUGGUAGGACUCCUCAUGAUGACUUUGGCUCUUUUGAAAGAGCCUUACUAAAUAUUUUGUAAAGAAGCUGUUUUUACGACCGAAGCCGCAUCUUUCUGGAGAAGCCUUACUAAGUACCCCCUAAGUUCUAGCUCGGCUUGAGCAAUUAAGCAUGUGCUUGUCCAAAAGCGCAUCAAUUGAAGCGAACACUCCUUGAUAUGAUGUUUUAGUUUUGUUUAAUGUAAAACAUUUCUGUUUCAGCCAUCAAUUUGUACAAAUUUGUAUACUUUAUUACUAUCAUAAGAUUUAUUUUUUUAGGUUAACUAGAAAUACUUUCAUAAUAUAUAAUUCAGAUGUUAAAUUACAUGAGUUUAUAGGAACCGAUGAUAGAAAAUAGCAAUAUUUUUUUGACUCAGAAAAUAGCAAUAUUUAACUCAAGACAAAACUAGAAUUACAACCUUUAUGGAACGGAGGGAAUAUUUUGGAAUCGGCUAGAUCUUCCUUGUGUCCCCACAUAGUCCUUAGGUUUCUAAACAUUUUUGUUUAAUAAAUCACAUAUGUGCUUUUAUACUGACCACAAAUAUGAAAAAAAUGUUGUUUGAUAAGUCAUCCGAAAAUGAUAUGGGAUACGCAUAAAAGGUCCAUUUUGACAACCCUUAUGAUUCAUGGUUUUAAUUAUUUUCAUUUUGAUAAAUUUAAAAAACAACCCAUUGUUGUUUAUCAAAGAGUAUGACUGGAAACUCAUCAAAAAUAAAUUUCAUGCCUCACUACCUAUAUUUACUUGCUCAUCGGUUGAGAUAUGGAAAUCCACAUUGUUAAGAUCUGUGGAAAUUAAAACGCCAUUGUUGUUUACCAAAGAGUAUUACUGGAAACUUAUCGCUUUUCUCUUUUAUUUGAAAGAUGUGGAUAAUCAAGGAUUCACAGAAUAAGAAACAGUGAAUUGCUCCAAAGCUAUCACUAGCUGCGCCUAUGUUAUUUAUGUUGAACACCAUAUAUAGAACUUGUUGAGAUAUAUACCUUCUAAAUUACCAUAGAACUUGUUCUCUCCUUCACCAAGCUCUAGACAGUAGUCGCCUAUACUAUAUCUAGCAUUAUUUGUAAUCAGGUUUAGAUCUCUGCAUCUUACUCUCCACCUUCUAAUAUACAAGCUCAAGACACAGAGUAUAUUACUCCGUCUUAUAUGUCUUAACUAGUAUAAAACUAUGUGAGCUUCGUGUUUAUGAUCUGUGUGAUCUAUCCAUACUUGAGGUCCUUGGAGAUUUAGUCGAUUUUAGGCCUUUGACAAUGUUAUACAUAACAACAUUCUCAUGUUUAUAAUAGUGCAUUAGAAAUGUUAAUUAUCAUUGGGUAGUGUACAGUUGCGCUCUAUUCGGGCAAAAAUAGCGAUUUAGGUGUAAUUUUUUUUAUCUAAAUGUUGUUAUAUAAUAUUCAAUAUAUAGAUACUACCCCAUCCAUUUAGAUUAUAUGUCGUUCUGAUUUUUUUAGAUAUAUAGUUUUAUUAUACAUCUAGAUACAACAUAUCAAGAUACAUAUCAAAUGCUCUGCACCUAAAAGGACAGAAGAGCUUAAAAUUUGGAACGGAUGAAGUAUGAGACAACAAAAGCACUUAUAUAAAGAAAAAUCUACAUUAUACGUUUCUAUAAAUUAAAUGCUUUAGAAGUUGUUCAUGGGCGAAACUCUAAAAGUUUGAUCAGAUUUUGGUGAAAAUUUCGAGUAGUUUUAUUGCCGAGGGUAAGUUUGCUUGAUAUUGGUACAACAUCAAGGCCUUGUUUAGUUCCCGAUGGGAAAUAUUUCGCGACACUGUAGCACUUUCGUUUGUUUGUGGUAAUUAUUGUCCAAUAAUAGACUAACUAGGCUCAAAAGAUUCGUCUUUGUCAAUUUCGACCAAACUGUGUAAUUAGUUUUUAUUUUCAUCUAUAUUUAAUACUCCAUGUAUACGUCUAAAGAUUCGAUGUAAUGGGGAAUCUUGAAAAUUUUUGAGUUUUUGGGUGGCCCAAGUGUACCCGAAAUCACCAUCUGAUGUCUUCGCAAAAAUACAAUUUGAACAGUGCGCAAGCAAUGCAAACAAUGUGUUGUAUCGCAAGAUCACGUGUUCCGUGCACGAAGGAUCCAACGGUGUCAGAUUAGUAUUUGAUGACAAGGGUCGCACCAACGACGACACCCCGGCCGGGGGCCCGUUUAAUUGGCCGACCCGCACCCACGCGCGGCCGUCCUCGGCGCCAGGACGGACGGACGGCCAAGCGGCAUGUGCCACGAGAUCGCAGCCAUGCAAGCAUGCGCGCGCGACCUCGCCGGUGCCCGCGGGGCGCCAGCUGGGGCUGUGUCGUGUGGUCUCUAUCCUCUACCUCCGCCGGGGGGGGCGGGGGGCGGGGGCAAUCAUGAGGACGAGCAAAGGCAGGGCCAUCAUCCCCGUACGCAUCAGCGGCGCGGCCUCGCGUCGUAUCUGCGCGAGAUCGGGUCGGCCAGGUGGAGGCUCCCGAGAGUUCCAGCUGCCCGACGGGGGCCCCCGGGCGAACCUGGUGGUGUGUGCGUCGACGUCGCCGUCGCGGCCAGGUCGGACUCGGACGGGGCUAGCUUCGAGACGGUUCUCGGCAGCCGCGCCCACCCCUUUUGCGUUGCGCUAGCCUUGCGCCUCCCGCACGGCCGGGAACUGCACUGCACGGUUGCCUCCCCGCGCGGGCGCGGCCCCCUCCUGUUCCAGGACGUGAACAGCUCGCGACUUGGCUGCCAGAGCCCAUUUGCAUGCAACUCGCGUCAGUGAUGUGCACGCAAACGCAACAAAUUGACUAGGAACACCGUGCCGCGAGCGACCUGCAGGCUGCAGCUGCCAAUCGGCGGCUGCAGUGAUAGUACUGGUAGCUACAGUAUAUGCGAAUGCCAUUGUAUUGGUCUGAAUGAUAUUUUUAUCGUUUUCACGGCGGCGAAACAAAGGAAAUAUCAAGAACAUACCAGUGGCUUCCGCUCCACAGUUGCAGAGCAGAUUGACCUCGGUGAGAAGCCAUGCAUGGCUUCUUUGUGGCCGGGCCGCAAUGCUGACGAGGAUGAUGUGGCACUGGUACGACGUCCUAACAUCUGAUGAGGGUGCGUAGCACUUGCAUUGUUUUGCAUGACUGUAUACACGAUAGCUCAGCAGGCCAAUGCAUAUCUGUUUCUUCUCACUACGAACGUGUGUUCUGGAACUCUGACGCAACUUGCAUUGAGCUAUAAUUCGCCGCGGUUUCGAUUUGUUGUUCUUUCUUGUUGGAUGGAUGUUGUGGAAGGAAAGAAACACGAGAACCUUCAAUGAGACGUCAAGGUUGGUGGUGCAGCUGCUCUAGGGCAUUGAAGAUGAGAUUACCAUGUGGACUGCGGCAAGGGUACCGGCACUUAGAUGUGUUGGACUCGCUUUCGCUGGGGCAGAUUGAGGUAAUUUGUCGUCUUAGUUUUAACAAUAAUCUUUGGAUUACUGUUUUGGUGUAUUGGCUAUAACAAAACUCUUUUUCUUUGCUUAAUGAAAUAUGUGCCAAGCGUGUUUUUGAAAAAAAAAAAACUUGCAUUGAGCUACAGCAUAUAAGGAUAGAUACUUAGCUCACGAAGACAGUAAUGUUGCACGAUUUACUUAGCUUGGAUUCCACGAUAUAUAUUUCAUUUUCCAUGGAAUUAAUUAUAAGGGAACAUCGGCUACUACAUCUGUGGUGCAUCUUGAAGCAGGGAACAGAAGGAACCAAAUCAUGCAAUGCAUGACAUGGUGAUGAUUUGUAUCCCGGCUUCCACUGUUCCAUUCCCUGCACGAUUCUUCAGUUUAGCGAACGUAUAUACGUGUCUCGGGCAUCACCACAUGAUAGGAUCAAGGAUAUAUAGUUUGUGCACACAGUGUUCCUGUCAAAGAUAGUUCUCGUGUCUUUCUUAUUUAAAAAAAGUCUUCCGUCUUGUGACGGGUAUACAUUGCAUUCUCGGGUAAGUUAUAAUAUUAGCAGCUCGAACGUCGAAAGGAACUGCUUCAUGAUCACGUGAACCAAGCUAGCUUUAAUUCUGAAAAGCUAUGUAUAGGUGAUAGUCUUGCAAAACAAUCAACAGGGUCUUGCCUGCAUCUCUUCGAAUUCUAAAGUUUCUAAGAAACAUGUGAAAAUCCAUUUUUCUUCGCUUAUAUUAACAGUUUUGAUGUAUCUAUAUAUCUAUACUUAGAGUAGUCCAGCCUCUUCUGAAGUCAUUCGUAUCGAUCAAGUUCUAGUCUCUUAUCUAUGUACCAAUGCUCUCGAUUAGACAGGAAACUAGCUAGUACGCUCGAGCUUGGUCAGCUUUGAUGUGAUGAUCCUUCUGCUUAUGAUCUCGCAUUGCAUGCUACGAAUAAACGUAACAAAAAACUGUAUAAGCUCUCGGCAUCGAUCAAGUAGAAUAUAGAUUGAUCAAGAUCACUCUCGGGCCCGGCCAACUUUUGGCCGCUAGCUAGCUAAUGGCACAGUAACUACUUUCUCCUGAAAGCUCAGUGCACAGCACCUGAGAUUCGACCGUGGCGUGGACACGGCUGUGACUUGUGAGAUGAGAUGAUAUUACGUGCGCUGAUCGGCGUACGUAACCGACCUCGACGUGACCCGGCCCGGCCUUUCUCUGGCCGUUGGCCCUUAGCUGGAAGCAGUGCCCGCCCAUGCAAGUAGCGCGCGUUCGAUCGCGCGCCAUAGCCAACAGUGGCUCGGAUGUUCGCACCUGCAUGCGCCGGCCACGGCCAUCCUGCUGGCCCUGGGCCAGCACAGCAUGCAGUGGUGUGGUGUUCCACCGGCCAGUCGCUCCCGAUCGACGACGUCGCUGUCGCCGAGAUCCGCUCUAGAACCGGCCGGCCGCCGUGGGUUGGGUACGUCUCGGAAUUUAUUGCGUCCCGCGGCACGGCAGGGCCUCCCUGGCCACACCUCAGCGGCGUAAUCGCCAUGGCAACUGGGUGAUCGAUCCCGCUCGCCUCGGCGUCAGCUUGGCCAGCCAGCCGGCACAUGAACGACCGCGACAACACCAGACGGCGUCCACAUCAGCCGGAGCACACGCUCUCAUGAGUCAUGUCACGCUGACGCGCGCCGGGAUCGCCCCGGAUCGGUCGAUCCGCCAUCUGCUGGGUCCCCGGAGCGCUAUCCGAUCCGUUCCGCGACGUGCAACUUGAAGCCGCGCCCGGCCGGAGAGGAGUGGCCACGGCCGCGCUACGGUCCACCGACCCAGCCGUGGGGGUUGCGGACGUCAAGCUGCGCGACGGCAGCCAGGGCCCCAUGUCGGCGCCUGGCCGGACGACCGCCGGGAUGGGCCUCGCCGUCGCCGUCCGCGUGUUGCCGCGGGCGCCGGCCGUGUCCCCGGUCGCGGCGCGGGCCACACAUAUGCAUGGCUCCGUCGCUCCGAAAUAGCCCUUUUCGCGCGCGCGCCUCGUGCUCGUCAGGUGAUGACACGCGCACUGCGACUGUGUGCAAGCUGACGAUGGCGUGAACGUGAUGGUGACCCAACAGUUUCGUGAUCGGGGAUCAGCAUCCGGCGGGCACCGACCUCUUUGCAACUUGGUACGGAUCAAACUGUGCAUGAUUGUCGAUGCAAGGGAUACUGGGAUAGGGAUUAUUUUGCUGCCGGUGAACGCUUGUGCACAGCGCAUCCAUGUCACCCUAGGUUGGAAGGAGUACAGUCUUGUUUGAAUGUCUUGUGUGUUGGUGUGGAUUGGGAUGGAAUUUAGUUUAAAUUUCACUCCAAUCCACCUCAAUACAUGUGGAUUGAUGUAAAUACGACUACAUCCAAACAAGGUCUUAAAAACGACGCGUUGUGUAUUUGGACAAAAUUAAACAUGAUAUACUGCCAACUUUUAUUUCUAAAGUUUCAGGGUAUACACAAGCAUGCGCGUUCGGUGGUUAUACACAUUUCCUACGCACUGAAGGUCAGGAGCCUUCCAAUCCCUUUCUUUGUGUGUGUAGGGAUGCACAGAAAUGUGUACAUGUAGUGUAAAUGUGGAGUGUGUGGGCGUGUGCGUCGAAGUUGUACCUAAUUUAAACAAAAAGAAACAAAAUAUCUGUAAUUUAGUACUAUCUCUAUCUUGAAAAGAAUGUAACUAUGAGUUCCAUGCCACGAAAAUUAGUUCAAGUUUGAUCAAGUUUCUAGUGAAUAAUAUUUAUAUUUAUGGCCUUAAUAAUUUAUCAUAAAAAUAUAUUUCUUGAUUAAUUUAAUGGUGUUUAUUUGGUAUCAUAAACAUAAUUCUUUUUAUUUAUAAUUGGUCAAAUCUAAGGUACUAAAACAAGACACUGUGCUAGAAUUGUAUUUUUUCUUGAACUGAGGUAGUAGACUUUAAGCAUCUCACCAAUAAUAGACAGGAUAAUAACAGCUUGAAUUUGCAUCUAAAUUAAUAAAUUAUCAUCCCUACCAUUACAAAAUAUAAUUUAAAACAACCCUAUAAAUUACAUAUAAAUUAGUCACCUAUGUUAUUAUAAAAAUAAUUUUAAAUAAGACACUAGUUUUUUAAUCUAAACUACCGACAUAUGUUCCUAUGAAUAACGCAAAGUAACAAUAAGUUUGUAUCAAACAAUUCACGUCUGCCAUUGAAAAAUAACAUAAAAUAAUUCCAUACCUCCAAUAAAAAUAAACUAAAAUAUUUCUAUUUAUGCCUAAUAUUAAAGUACGAAGCCUUGAUGUGGUCCUUAACUCUCUCCCAUGCCUAUAAGAGUUAGAACAAAGUGUCUAGACAUGCAAGGUGCACAGGCUGGUCCAAGAUAAAUUAGAUAUGUAGCAUUUCUAUGGUCUAUCACUCUCUUCAGGGACCGUACUGAGUUGGAGCAACUUGUUCAAGCAUGGUGCAAAGUCUAAUUCCAAUAUGAAUUAGAAUACAUGACACGAUCAUUAGAUAAAUCUUCUCCGAUUCUAAAAUGAAUGACAUGAUCACUAAUAAAUCUCUUGAGCCACAUGUCAUCAAAGUGAUUGCGCAAUAAGUUGUACGUCUAGUUAAAAUGCAUGGGCUUGUUUUCUAAGCCACAAAGGAUGCUAUCUAAAUUACACACCACCAUUCAAUUAAAAAGUAGCUAGAAUGCUAUAUGUCACCGUUUAGAUCAAGCAACAUGGAUAAAUUAGGAUAAAUAUAUAUUUUAAUAGUUGAUCAUGCCUGAAUAAAUGUUUCUUUAAUCAAACCAACAAACUAUGAACAAUGAUACUAAUAAUUCACUUUAAAUUUAUUACUAUAUUCCAUGACAAUAAACUUUGUAAGGGGUUAAUUUUAGUAACUUUGUACACUUUGACUCAAUGGUGGAAAUUUAAUUUUAAUGGAUGUAUAUUUUUAUAAAUUAAUAUCAUUUCACAUAUAACUCUUCGACAUAGCAAAUUCUGCACUAAGUUCAAUGACGCAGCUUGAAACAUCUAUUUAUGCCAUUGUAGUACCUAAGAAUGUCAUAUAUGAUCUAGAAUAUUUCUUUUUAAUGAAACUUAAAAGAAAAUAAUUGAGCAAAAUAUGCAAUAAGCGUGAGUGUAAGGUCUCGUGAGUGCCCAAGAGGUGGGGUGAAGUGGGUGAAACCUUAAUCCUAGGUCACAAUGAAAAUUACCACUAGCAAAUUAAAACCAUAAACCAUGUAGCAUGUUUAUGUGCACUUAAGAUUUUUCUGUUGUGAUCUAACUUACCCAUAAUCCGAAAGAGUUUUGCAACCUAAAGUCAAUCAUAUCAACUAAGCUAUAGCUAAUCUCGAAAGGUAAAGAUCACACAAGCAAAGCACAUAUAGAAACACCAAAUGUGGUAAGUAAAUAUGUUGACAUAAAAAGCCCAAACCCCUCAGAGACGAGAUGAUUCUAUGGUAUUGAUUCUAUAAACGCAAACCAUUGUUGAAUAGGCUUACAAUUCUUUCAUUUCAACAAAGUGCACAUGGCCAACCAAUACCAGUCUUUGUUGGUUUCCAAACCAGCCUAAGUUUGUUUCGGCAGGGUUGCACUGCUAGUCAGCCAAAACUAGCCAAACCAGUUUUUCGACACCCCGCACACAAAAAUGUGUGUUUGUACUCCCCCACUCAUUAUUAGACAGAAGGAGAAGCUCAAAUAUGAAAUUUAAAUAUGAAAGGGAGGCGAACUAAGACAAGAGACACAUCGAUGUAUUUCUCGAAGUCCGCAUCCCCACUAGACCCAAUGUCGCGGCUAACAAAGCCAUGAGCGACCGCUCAUGAUCAAGCUCUAGAUGCUUGCAACUACUUUCAUCGUUCCACUAUGUAACACCCAAAAUUUGAUUUUCAAAUAAUAGGAUUUAAUUUAAUUUAUUUAAGUACUUUUGUGGGCAUAGAAAACUAGCAACUAAAUAAUUGUGUGGGAAUUAAAAUUCAUUAUAGGUUUAGCAACCUUGAUUGAGCAUUCAUGCUGGAGCAUCUUUAUUUAUUUGUGCUGCUGGUAUUUGUUGGAUUUUAUUUGCUCUCAAAAUUUGAUUUUAAAAGGCUUUGGAAAAUUAAAAAAAAAAGAAGGAAAAAAAAACAGCCGGACUCGGCUUGGUGGCCAAUUGGCCGUGAGGCCCGAACUGGCCAGCAGCGCGCGCACUCCCUCCCUCUCCCUCCUUUCUUUGGCUGACGGUUGGGGCCUGCGUGUCAGCGUCGCCUUCCUCCUUCCUCUCGCCGUGUGCGGGUUGGACUCGUCCGGAAGCCAACCGCACCGAAUCAAAUCCUGAGAAUCCGGGAUUUCUUGCUAUACCGUGCUCUAUAAGACUCCCAAGCACCGCGGCGGGUUUUCCUUUGCAUCUAAACCACGAAAACGUGACCUAGCUCCAUUUAUCCGCGACAGUUUGGAUCUCGCCGAGGUUGAGUCGAGCCCCACCGCCGCGCGCUCCUCCUACUCCCUUUCGGACCGAACCGAGGACGCAGUCGACUUCGCGGUGAGCUGCUCGUCAUCCCGGAGUUUUUCUUUCUUGAAACGGUGCUCGGAAACGAGAAGUCAGCGGACGACGCCGGCGAGCUUCCGUCCUGGCCAUGCCGCCGUCGACCGGAGCUGGGAACCAGCCGGCCACCGCCUGCUGCCCCCUGGAGGAGAUGUGGACCGUCGGAUUUGAGAUCAAGGGCUGAGAAUCAAAGAUACCCUUUCAGGACAUAUUUUGCUAAAGAGACCCUGGAAAAUUCAAAUAUAUAACCCGCAGUCCAAGGCGCCCUGAGUAUAAUACGUUUUCCAACUGAGAAAACGUAUUCUAACCGGCUGAGUUCAAAAUACGUUUUCUGCUAUUUACAGUUUUGCCAUUGAUUUUGUUUUGCUUAUAAAAUGCUCAUAUUAACUCCGUUUUUGUCCAUUCAAAUUCCGUUAGAUUCGUAUUUACGAUCUCUACAUGUUAGAAGAAUUAGUUUACUGUUUUGAAACUUUUUAAUUCUGCAGUAGCAUUUAAUUAAUUAUUUCUUUAUAGGAAAUCUUAGAAAAUUCAUAUCUUUCACGUUUUAAUUCCGAUUUUCGUAAACCUUACGUUUGUGUGAUCGUAGCGCUGCGUAGAAUAUUUUGAUAAACUUUUAUAUUUGUUUUACCACUGUUUGGUGUAAUGUUCUAAUUAUACCUUGUUUGCUUUGUGUAUGAUUGUCUCCAUUGGAUUGCGUGUUGUUGAUUGAUGUUUGGGAAUAGACGGUGAGCUGUACGUUGGUGAUCAAGACCAAGCUUUUGAAGACCAGCGGGCUCAGGAGAGCUUUGGUCAAGGCAAGUAUAACUUGGGAUUAUCCUUGCUACCUAUUCACUUAUAAUUACACAUAUAUAUCAUAUGCAUGCUAUCACCUUGUCGACCUUAGCAAAAUCAUAGAUGAUUGUUACCUGGAUUCCUUGUUACCUACUUGAUAUGCAUUUGGUGUAGAUGUGCUAGUGCUUGAUAUAAUCCAUGAUCUUGUAAGAUGAUUAAUAGAUAUGCAAUGAACAUAAAAGAAUGACAAAUAACUGUAUGAGAUCUUGUCUGUAAGUGAUCACCGGGACAACAGUGCAACCAUGAGGGCUAUAAUGGCUCUGGCUUUAGCUCAGUAUGAAGACCUUUUCUAGCUUGUUAGAGGUUACCCGAAAGGGCGGAGGGGCUGAACCGACACGGGUAUAGUGCGAGCCCCUGUCCCUAUGUGUAUAGGCUGCGCGUCAUUGUGCCAUUCGGAAGGGGGGUAUCUAUAUCUGCGCGCAAAGGAAACCUUGCGGCCCUAACAUGUUAGACGAACUUUUGAAAGGCUUCAUAGUGAUCCCUGCCGACCUUCCUUGGUAGUGGGUUAAGAGGUCGACGGGGCUCGGGCGAAAGGGUAAAUCAUGACUCAUGGGUAAAGAUGUACAACCUCUGCAGAGUGUAAAACUGGUAUACUAGCCGUGCUCACGGUUAUGAGCGGCCUUGGGGGUUCUUGCUGCGCCGACGAUGAGCUUAUUAAGUUGUUAUGUUCAUUUGAUUAUCGUUUAUGCUAUGAAUUAAUUAUGCUUACACUUGAUCAUGGGAUUAAUGGAUUAUUUAUGUUACCUUGACAAUUGCUCAUUAAUUAUGAACAUGCUAUCCACCAUUAAAAGCUAAAUGCAGUCAAACCAGUGUCAGCCAUUUGAGCCUCAUGAACCCCUGGUUAUACUUGUUGAGUACGAUAUGUGCUCACUCUUGCAAUUUCCCAACACCUCAGGAAAUGAUAAUGAAGAUGUCUGGAAUGAGGAUUACCGUUAUGAGUACUAGGUUUGGAGUCAACCAGUCAACAGUGUCCCUGUGUGGAGCUUCCGUCGAGAGCGUUGUUUACUUUAUGCUAUCAUUUUUGUAUGAGACUAUGUGAUAUUUUAUAUUCCGCUAUGUAAUAAACACUGCGAUGGUACAUUUGAGAUUUGUCUACUUAUGUGUGCGACUGUUUCUGGGGCACAUACGAGUCUUUUAUGCACCCUAUUUUGUUCUUAAAAUAUGGGUGUGACACACUAGAUCAUAUUGUUUCCCUUUCGAGGGCAAGAUCGCAGCGUGCAUGAACUAUCCUGUGACACUCCACAAGUUGGUUACUUCAAUAGUAACUAAUGCUUCACCAUGAAAUUGUUGCUGCCACGAAGUGCUCAAGGCUUUGCUCAGUCCUCUAAUGCUGACAUAAGCACACAGGGGCUCUAAUCAAUCUCACCAAUCCAAUGUCACUCGAAUCCCAUGAAAGGUGGAUUUGGAGCUAGCUCUAAAUAAAAUAAAAGUCGGUGUAGGAAUGUUCAAGGACACUUUCAAACAUUGUUCUAGCUUGGUAUUUCCAUUUGGUUCAACCUUGAUGAACUUAUCUUGAAUAGAUGCAGCCAUUAGCACAAACAUACUGAAGAGGCCUUACACUAAGCGUGUUAUGAUAAUUCAUGUUCUUCUUCUUGCCAUCCAUUUUUUUUGUUCUUCAUGAUUUGCUUGGACCGGAAGGACUUGUGGUCUUAUUGAUAACACUUGAAGCAAUCGCUAGAUAUGGAUAGGCAUGAUGGAGUCAUUGAUUGCGAAAUAAUGUAAUCUAUUUCACGAGGAAUCAAUAGAGCUAUCUCCUUUCUUUGCGAAAGAACUCCAAGUCAGGUUAGGUUUAGGUCGGGCUAGGAAAAAUUGGGUCAAAAUCUUCAGCCCGAGCCCGAAGUGACAUUGGUGGGUUGGGUUGGGUUGGGUUGAGCGCUAUGUCUUGCUUUUUUAUUUCUCUACUUUGGGUUAGUUUUUUCAUGUUGGAUCGGGUCAUAUAUAUAUGGGCCCAAAACCAUGACUUGAACUUGACCUGACGCAUUGUCAGGUCAGGUUGGAUGGUCCAUGUCUGUUUAUAUCCUUAUAACAUUUCUUCCUCACAGGACAUUGAGGUUGCCAUUGACACUCAACGCGCGUCCCUAGAGCCCAGCCACUUCAUUCCUCCGACCGAACCAUCAACCCCACGCUAACAUAGCCUCUUGUGACUGGCCGGUUGCCCCCUUAUUUCUUCAUUUAAGCUCUUCUAUAUAUCUAGUCCUAAUAUAAGUAUAUCUUCAUGUACGCGUGAGACUGAGAGGAUCAUUCAAUCGUCAGUUCGUCGCCCUCACAAGCUGUAGCAAAUGCACACACAACUGGCUCCGGUUCGUACACGACCAUGCACCUUGUGUGGAGCCGGCGCGGGGACAAAAUCCACAUCAUAUCCAUCCCCUCCACGCGAUCCCCGAUUCAUUCUGCAUCGCCCAAAAACAUAUAUAUAGAUGCGUGCAUGUCCCGCUUCCACACAGUGCACACACACAUAUGUGAUACGUAGGUGAUACCUUAUCAAAGAAAUAUGUGAUAGGUGAUACAGAUACCACAAGCAUCUCCCUAUCGCCGCGGUCGAUUCACAGUGCAAGCUGCAAGGACGACCACACCGCCGGAAAUGCCAGCUCGGUGCCGCUGGACUCUUCCGCCACGCACGUAUUAUAUGUGCGCGGUCGUAUCGUAUACGGCCGAAAUAGUAGAGAUAUUUGUGCACUUCGCAUUCCGUAUACGGACAACACCGCCGGAAAUGCUGGGUAUUAAGGUGCGUUGGAUCGGUGCGUGAACGUGACACGACGAAUUUUCGCAUUGCGUCGAUGUACCGCGCCCCCGGCGGCGAGCGGGUGGCGGUUUCCAAACUCGCGUUGUGCGCUGCAGCUUGAUUGCCUGCAUCCACGUAAAACAGGCAGAAGAUCCGGAUGGCGAAAUUAAGUGGAGACAGGAAUGAUAUAUGUCGCUCGGACAGCUUGUGCUUUUGUGCAAAAGCAUCUUGAUCCGAGAUAAUAAGCUACCCAGCUUCGGCUUGUGAAGUCUCGAGCAAUAAUCAAGCAUGCCAUUGCUGCAUGAAAACAGAAAUGAAUUGGGAUUAUACCUGUGCUGUCGCUUCCUCCUCCUCCAACUCUGGCACGCUAGGGCCUUGUUUAGUUCCCAAAAAAAUUAUAAAAUUUUUCAGAUUCCCCGUCACAUAAUCGAAUAUUUAGACACAUGCAUGGAGUAUUAAAUAUAGAUGAAAAUUAAAACUAAUUGUACAGUUUGGUUGGAAUUGACGAGACGAAUCUUUUGAGCCUAUUUAGUUCAUAAUUAGACAAUAUUUGUUAAAUAUAAACGAAAAUACUACAGUGUCGAUUUCUCAAAAAAUUUUAGAACUAAACAAGGCCCUAGGAAGAGCUAGGCCGUCACAUACGUGUACGUGGCAACGCGCGGCACCACGAACGACGGAAAUGCGUGAUCGGCGAUGGCGAACGAGCAUUGCAGAUCCUGGGGAGAACGAUAUAAAGCGAGCGAACAACCUCGAUCGGCACGUUUUAGUAUUCAUCAUAUAUCCCACCCACGCCUUGAGACAACGAUAUAAGUAUAUAUAUCCGCAUUCCGCAGUGGCAUAUAUCCAUGCAUGUCUGAAUUUGACAGCCGAAAAAACAGAUUGAACCAAAGAGAGAUGGAUAUGAUGGAACAAUACGUUGAGAAAGCAGAUUAGUACACAAGCAGAUAACCCACAGCGCCGAAAUCCAAUAGAGGACGGCCGUAGUAAACCGAUGAUCGAUCGUCGGAUCCCGAAAGGGACACUGUUGCGAUCGACCGGAUCGUCCUUGUCCUGUUCCCGGCCGCCGUUGCUAGCUGGAGCAGCGUUUUCUAGACCUCAUCCGCGUGGCCGGUCGUCUUUGUACGGCGCCGCUUUGGCUGGCUGGCUAGCUCUCGCGAAGUUUUCUUCGUCUUCGUCGUCUCGAUCGGCAUCUCCUUUUCGUCGUCGAUCGAUCUCGGAGCCUCUUGGUUUUCCUUUUCCACGGGCUAGAAAAGAUUCACCCUAGAGCUAGCUACGACCUACUGCUCGGAAUGGGAACGGCUCGCGUGCGUUGUCUAUCGAUAUCAUAUGGCCUGUUACAAUGCAUCGCGUAGCAUUGCAUCGUAAGCUUGUACUAGAACAUUACUGCCAAGUGCCGAUGACCCAGCGAGGACAAAUUGAGCCCCCUGCGAUCAACAAGCAAGAGAAAGGUGCAAAUGAAUGGUUGGAACUCGCGCCCGGCCGCGAUGAUCCUGACAUUGGCCGAGGAGUCGCCAUCCACGAGGAAUCCCGAGGCGGGUGGCGCGGAGAUCUGCGUGAGCUAGCGCGCCUGCUGCCUCUGCCUCUGACAGGGAUCUUCACCGGCGUGCCGUGCCGCCCCGUGUGCAUGCUAUCGAUCGGCGCCUCUGUACGUGUUGUUCGUUUUGAGGCGGGCGCGGUACGGUGGCGCGCCAGAAAUGGUGGCGAGGUUGCUUUCCACGACGCACCUUGAGGGCAUACAUAUAGUGAUGAUGAUUGAUCGCAAAGUGGUUCUUGGUUUGGCACGGAGAGCGUAAUGCCCAUAGCCUUCAGUUCAGUUCAGUGCGGUGAAGUUGUUGGGUAGUAAGUGAGAAUCGUUUGGAACAGAGACGGACGGCGAGUGCAACGCCGGCCAAGUGGUAGGUUCCAAAGAACGCAUGCAUGGAGCCUGCACCCUGCACUGCAUGCGGCACUGCCUAACAACACCAGCAGCAGCAAGAACAACAUGUCAAUGUCAAUCAGUCAAGAUAUGCCACUCAAUUGGUGAUUUGGUGACUGUAACCGGAUUGAAGCAACGUACAGUUCAGCGUCUCUAUAUAGAGAAAGUAAUACGUAGAUAAUUAUCCUGUGAGCUGAAUAAUGUCUAUUCGUACGUGUCGUGUCCAUUAGCGAACUCACCUCCUUGAUCAGCAUCGUAGCAACCGCAGUAUUGCCGUGUCUUGUGGAAUGCUCUGAGCGCUUAUGUUCUUGUGCUGAUAACUUGAUAUAAAGGACCUGCUAAUAAUGUAUCCUUCUUGGCUUCUGUAAUCCUUCCUCGAUCACUAUUAGUGAAGCUGACCUGCAGAUUUAGUAGCAGUAAUUAACUGUCUAGGGCACGCGAGGGACAUUAUGUGUAUGUAAAUGAUUGAAAGUUUGAUACUCUAAAAUCACGGGUAUACUUGACUGUCAACUGGACUAGAAAAUAGAGGCAGUCAAAUAGACAUAAGCAAUUCAUUCGUCUCAUCAUAGUUAGAUUAGAAUCGGGGGAAUGAAAUUGAGCUUCGUAUAAGUGGAAACUGAAUUUAAAUGGGCUUAGUUAUCGACAUACGGCCGGCAAAACGAGAAGCAGGGUACCAAUUUCAGAUCGGGCCAACAAAUUUAGGUCUGGCGACUUCACUCACCAAGAUGGGCCGGAUCACAGGAUUCUAGCCCAUAUGAAAAUGGGGCCGAACAAAAUAGGUUUUCCUGCCAUAGGCCCGACCACCAUAACAGAUACGGUGCUAAUUCCUAUUUCCUAUUUCAAGCCCAACUGAACAAGCAUAUGAAAACGAGAAGCUUGUAUUAUAAACUCAAAUAUAUAACUCUUAUAAAGCUAAAUCCCACUAGAUGAAUUCUCUGUUCAUGCAAAGUGUCCACAUCAAGUGACCCACUAAAUAUUCUAUCUCUUCAUGCAAGAUGUCCACAUCAUUCCUCACUAAGUCCAUGUCAUCACAUAUUAAUUACAAAAAAUGAUCAUGUCAUCUAUAUCAUAUGAAAUACUUUUAAAUCUUUAAUAUAUUAACAUACAAGUCAUGUACAUACACUAUUUAUUUCAUCACCAAUUAAUUUCUCUAUAAUGUAACCAAAUAUUAGUUUUUGUUCUAUUAGCUUAGCAAUUUUUUACUAGAUCUAAUACAAUAAAACACAUACAAGUCAAAUGUAUACUUACAUAAUAGACUGAAUAUCAUAUAGUAAUGCUAUGUAUAUAAUGAUUUAUUUUUAAGAAAAUCCUGCAGCAACGCGCGGGAAAUUCACCUAGUUAGUUAUCAUGAUAAACCCUUAAGAUCAUACAUAAUACACGAGAUGCAUGGGCGGAUACACAGUAUAUAUAGGUAUAUCUAAUAUAUUAGAAUUUCAUAUUUAACAAAUAAAAUUUCUCUCUCAUUCUUUUUAAGUUUAUCCUUGUAUUUCUUUUUCCAUAUAGGUUCUAUGUUAGUCUGAUUGCCAAAAUUAUUCUAUUUUGUUGUUUCUGUGAAUACGAACCUAAUUAUUUAUCUCCAGACCACAUACAUAUUGACUCAUGCCACCAAAUAUUAGUACAAAUCAUAUCUUGUUUCCAAACUCUUUUCCAAGAUAAAUCGGAAUAUACACAUGGAAACACGUAUAAUAAAAUAUUUUUUUCGUGUGAGUGAAACGAGACAAGAUUGGAGGCAAUUACAUAAUCCUCAUUCCUAAAUCUCGAACCCUAGUCGACCAAGCAUGACAUGUUGGAAGUACUACUGGUUUCCAGUGUCCUGAGCUUCUAGUGGCACAGGGCGUGCAGCGUGGGCGCGACAUCUAUUUCUAUGCUAUGCCUACAUGGCGACCGACGAGGGCGCACGUAAGUCAUGAGAUUAGAGGCAACAGUUGAGUGGUGGUAAACCAAAUACAGCAAGGGAAUAUCCAAGAUUCAAAUCCUAACUCCGUCACUGACGAGAUGCCGAUAUAUGACAAAAUUAGUCAUCAUGAUAAACUUGUAAGAUCAUAAAUAAAUUCAAAAUUAGUCAUCCUGAUAAAAUUAGCCAAUUUCCACACGCAGAAGUGACAAUUGGAUCUACCUAGAUAAACUUGUAAGAUCACACAUAAUACACGAGAUAUGAUAUUUAUUGAUCAAACCAAAUGGCUUCAAAAUAGUUUUUAAAUAUAUUCCCAAAAAUUAGUGUUGUUUUUUUAAAAUAUAACUUUAAAAAAGAUUUGAAAUUAUGUAUUGACCAUGUUAGCAUCCGACAUCAUUUUAAAUUUUUAAAAAAUAAAUUUCAAAAUUCAAGGAAAUUAAACUAUAUACUUAUGCUCUAAUAGCCUCAAACCAUAAACUUACCAACUACAAAAUUAUAGAUCACAUUAAACUCUAUAACCUUCGUAUAGAUCAUGUCAACAUCAACGGUCGUUUCAAAAUUUUACAUUUAAAAAGAUUUAAGAAUCUAAAAUGGUUUUUUGGGCUCUAAAAGCUUUGAAUAAAAAAUUAUCAAUUGCAAAGUUGUAUAUCAUGUUGAGCCUGAUAGUUCUGGUAUAAAUUUUGUCUUCAUCCUAAAAAACUUAAGUGUUCUGUCUCUGUUAAUCAAUUUUUAGAUGUGACACUAUUUGGAUCCUCACCUUUAAAAUUACUGUUUCAUAGAGGUAGUCACCUAAAAAUGCUUGUCUUUGUCAAUACAUUAACAUAAUCAAACAUUAUAAGAUGCCUUUGAAAAUCAUCGUUUUAUUAUUCUCCGCUAUAUCAAUAGAAAUAACUACUAUCACUAUCAGUUCAUUGAAAUGUGAGAGGAAGUGGCUGAAUCAGUGGACAUCGCUGCCUCACAAACAUAUAUGGUCUUGAUCAUCAUUCGCCUUGGCUUUGGCCACAAAUAGACUAUUAAGAAUAAAAUGCACAAUCGAUCCUUAAACUUGUUUCGAGGUGUCAUUCAGGUCCCCAAACCCAUAAAAUACAUUUUUCACUUACUCAAAUUUAUCUUGGAGUGUCAUCAAAGUCAAACUCUCAAAAUCUCAUGUUAGGUCCUCAAAUUUGUCACUGUGUGUCAUUUAUUUAGGCCCAAACAAGCUCUAAGCACAUGUUAAUCUCUAGUGCUCCAGCUACAUGCUCUCUCUCUCUCUCUCUCUCAUCUCCAUGCUCGCCCCCUCUCUUCGCGUUUCAGUCUAGUCUUGCAUCUCAUCAUACUCGUCAAUUUGCCAUUCCCAAUCCAUGUUUUCAUCAUCCUCCAUAAAAAAGCUAGUGCUCCUUAGGUGGAAGCACGGGCGGAGCCCAGUAGAGGCAAAACUAGGCUCCCGUCCCCUUCCCUCGAAACAAUUUCUUAAGGCCCAAUAAAAAUAUAUGAUGCCUGCAAUGUAGCAAUAGCCACCAGCCCAUUUAGGCACUCAUGUAGGAGGCAGGAAGACGGACGGAGGAACGGAGCCGUGACUCGGCGUUACAGCCGCACGGCGUACUCGGUACUCCACUCGCAUCUCCUAAUCUCUGGCACUCCACUCCACCUCUACGACGUGGCGCUCGAGUGGUGAGAUCCCAGCCGGCGAUAGCUGACAGCGGCCUUCCGUUGGCCUGCCGCUUUCUCGUCGAUUAAUGUAGGAGCCUUCGACAGUUCGGUGAUGCAACUUGCUGGCUAGGUUCGUACAAUCCCAAAUUUUUUUCUUUCCAUAAUUUUUACAGGAAGUUUGAUUAUGAUUUUGCUAGAUGCCUAGAUCCAAUCAAAUUGACUAGAAAUAAUUUCUUAAUUAGGUAGUAGUGGUGCGUAUAAAAAAUCUGCAUUCCUUUUACAAAAUAAAAAGAGAUGAAUCUGGAGAAGGGGAAGGAGAAGGGGAAGAAGAAGGAGAAGAAAGGGCAGAUCCAUUUGAUGCUCCUCCAGUACUUCAGUUAGGUGAUUUGGGACAACAGAGGCAAGAACAAGAAGCGGCAGCACCUCAGUUGGAUGAACUGGAGCCCCAAAGGCAAGAAGAUGCAGAACAACAAGAACCUGCAAAUCAGUUAGAUGAAGAUGAAGUACCAGAAGAAGCACAUGUAGAACCACUAGUAGUAGAAGAUGAAGAAGAAAAUCAAACAAAUGAACCUAUCAUAUUUCGAGGCAUUGAAUUUUUGGAGCGAGAUCCGGCACUGUGUCCACAAAUUUGGCAAUAUCCAGUUGAUCAGAGAGAUCAAGUGCGAUGAGCAUACUUGCAGUUAGGUCCUAUGCAACCAUUAUUGAAGAAAUACAAGCCUUUUGGACCCGCUGGAAAUCGCCGUCGUUUAAAUUAUAUUUGGUUCAGCCAAUUUCUAUCUUGGUGAAAGCUCUAGUUUGGUUUUGGAUAAUUGUUGAAACCCUAGUACUAACCUCUAUACUAAGUGUGUGUAGACUUAAUGAGGUUGGUACAUGCCAAGUGAUGGAGCAAGUAAUGAUCAUGGUGAUGAUGGUGAUGAACACAAGAUGAUCAAGUGCUCAACUUGGAAAAGAAGAAAGAGAAAAACAAAACCCUAUGGAGUUCAAGGCAAUGGUAUUGCUUAGGGUUUUCGUUUUGGUGAUCAAGACACCAUAGAGGAUGUGAUCAUAUUCAGGAUAGAUAGCCAUACUAUAAAGAGGAGAAUUCCUUGGCUAAGCGGUUAUCAAGUGCCACUAGGUGUCAUUGUUCAUGUGCAUGCGUUUAGAACCUAGUAGUGAGCUAACUUAACUCCUUCGAAGAAAAUGAUUGUGAAAAUGCUAACACACUUGCACAUCGUGGUGUAGACUUCGUGGUGUCGGCGCUUUUGAGAAAAUGAAAUGUAUAUUUUCUAUUGCGCCGGUGGAAAUUAUCACCAGACGCUGGCCCGGAGGCACCGGACGCAGUGCCUGCGCGUCUGGUGUGUUGUCUGCUUCUAGCGGUGUUAGGGUUAAGCACCAGACGCUCUGCACCGGACGCGGGCUAGACCCUGUAUGUGCGUCCGGUGUGGCCUGACUUUAGCAGAGAGUUUGACUGAGAGCACCGGACGCUCUGGGUGCGUCCGGUGGUGCGCGUCCGGUGUCCUUGCAUUUUUGCAGAGCUCUCUGGGUAAGGGACCGGACGCUUAGGAGCACGUCCGGUGGUGUGGGUCUGGUGACCCCGCGCGUUUGCAGACCUCUCUGCGCACGUGACCGGUGUGCACCAGACGCGUCCGGUGCCCACUUGACUGCGUCGGGUGGUUCAUAUUUGAUAAUUAGAGAUCGACACACGUGGUUCAAGUUGUGGACACGUGGCUCUGUUCCAAGCAUCGGACGCACAGGUUGAGCGUCUGGUGGUCACUGGUUGUGCGUCCGGUGACCCCGAUUUCUGCAUAGUGAAAGAGCCAAUGGCUCUAUUUGUUUGUGGGGCUUAUAAAUAGUUGUUGGCCGGCUUGAGGCUCACUCUCUUGGAAUUCUAGCAUACUUGACAUCCUUGUGAGCCUAAGCAAACACCUCCCACUCAUCUCCUUCAUAGAUUAUUCAUCUUUGUGAGAUUGUGAGUGAUUCCAAGUGCAUUUGCUUGAGUGAUUGCAUCAAGUGGCACUUGGGGAUCGAUUUGUCUACGGUUUUCUUGUUACUCUUGGUGGUUGCCGCUACCUAGACGGCUUUGAGCAGUGGAGGAGCUUUGGCACAAGUUGGUGAUUUUUCGUGGCUAUCUCUCGGUGAUUGUUAGGGGUCUUGUACCUUCCUCGGUGGAGAGCCGAAAGGUAACUCUAGUAAAGUGCUCGUGUCAUUGAGUUACCUCACUUGUGGGUAGGUUCUUGUGGUGUCCUAGUGAGGACGAGGUUCGUGCUACACCUCUUAGCCACCGAACCACCAAGUGUUGGUCGACACAACGGGGACGUAGCGUGUCGGCAAGCAUGUGAACCUCAAGAGAAAAAUCGAUGUCUUUUGAUUGACAUUAUCCUGGUGCUUAAUUGUUUAUAUUGGUGAUUGGUUCAUCCCCUACACGACGGUAUAAAUAUCUCAUCCUAUCUUUUAUUUACCGCAAACUAGUGUAAUUAGAUUAGUUGCUUACUUUGCCUUGUGUAGCCUAGUUCACUAGUGUAGUUUGUAGUGACAUAGCUCUUGUGUGCCUAGUGAUCAUACCAACUAGAAUUAUUGAAUAGGUGGCUUGCAAACAUUCCAUUAGAGCUAGAGUAAAAAGCUUCGCUUAUGGACUUGUUCAAUCCAGUGAGUUUGUUCAAACCGUGCCGAUUCAACAGCUGGUUCAAACCGUGCCGAUGGAGAUACUGCCUUCAAGUACUUGACAUCAUUUGAGUUUGUGAUUAUCCAUGUAUGACAAGGGAAAUAUUUGAAACAACUGAACAACUUGGUCAAGCAUUACAUAAGAAAUCACAAGACAUAGUAAAUGUUGUUCGCCUUGUGCGCACCACAAAAGUUCUACUUGAGGAAAUGAGAUCUGAUCAUGGAUGUGAAACUUUUUUUUGCAAGGUUGUUGAGUUUUGCUUGGAUCACAACACUGAUGUUCCAGACAUGGAAGGGACCUACAUUUUGCGUGGUGGUCGCGCUCAUCGUCAACCUGAACACUUCACUAGGGACCGUUACUCCCGAGUGGAGAUAUUUCGUGCAACAAUCGACACUCAGAUGCCUGAAUUAAAUUUGAAGUUCAAUGAGAAGGUGAUGGAUCUUUUGUCCAUUAGUGCCACACUCAUACCAAGAAAUGGAUUUCUAUCUUUCCAAGCAAAUGAGAUAUGCAGAUCGGUUGAGAAGUACUACUACCCAAUGGAUUUCAGUGAACAAGGUAUGAUUGCAUUAGAGCGUCAGCUAAACCAUUUUAUGGUUGAUGCUUCUAGUAGUGAAGAUAUGAAAAAUAUUGAAACCUUAGUGCAGCUUUGUCAAAGUCUUGUUGGGAUAGGCAGACAUAGAAUCUUUAACUUGGUUGAUAGAUUGAUUCGGUUGCUUGUGACUCUCCCAGUUUCAACAGCUACUGCUGAACGUGCUUUCUCUGUUUUGAAGAUAACCAAGACAAGACCGCGCAACAAGAUGGAAGAUGAUUUCCUUGCCAAUAGCUUGUUGGUUCAGAUCGAAGGUGAAAUUGCAGGACACUAUACCUAUGAUGAUAUAAUCACAUAUUUCAAAAUUUUGAAGAAAAGAAGAUCACCUCUAAGCUGUAGUCGUAUGUCUGACUUAUAGUUUGGGUGUCUUGUCUUUUGUCUAACAGCCCCUAUGGCCACGGGCCAAUUGUAUUUUGGUAAUGAUUAGGCUAACAAUCUCUACAACCGUGUGGUAUGAGUAUGUGAAUAGUUAUAAAUAUUAAUAUAAAUGUAUAUAUUAAUGAUAUUAUAUGCAUUGUCAUUCAUUUUUGGUGUCAAUUAUUGUUCAUUUUCUCUCUAUUUUUUAAAUUCGCCCCCCUAUAAUUUGGCUCACCCUCCGCCAACUGGGUGGAAGAGGUAGGGUGAACGAUUGCUUUGUCAUUAAGUUCCUACCCUGGUUAAGAAUGAGGUGUGGAUGCAACCACUAUGACAUGUGGUGUCAUGGUGUAGAGUAGAUCGGGCCUAUUUGAACCUAUUGACACACUAUGGCAAGUUCAGAGCCUCAGGCCCGUUCGGUUGCUCUCAGUAAAGUUUACCGCCCGUCACAUCAAAUAUUUGGACAUAUGUAUGGAGUAUCAAAUGAGGACUAUUUAUAAAACUAAAAAUAUAGAUAGAGAGUAAUUUGUGAGAUAAAUCUUUUGAUCCUAAUUAGUCCAUGAUUGGACACUAAUUUCCAAAUAAGACAAACAUACUAUAGUACAUAUUAAACUUUAACACCCUCAACCAAACACCCCCUCAAUGACAUAUGUACUGAGACAAAUCUAGGGAUCUAAAUAUUAUAUUUCAAAAUUUAUAACCUAAAUGACACACAGAGAUAAGUUUGAGGAUCCAAAAAUAAUUUUAGGUCUUGUUUAAUUUUCUUCCGAAAAUUUUUUGGAACACUGUAGCACUUUCGUUUGUACGUGGUAAUUAUUGUCUAACUAUGGACUAACUAGGCUCAAAAGAUUCAUCUCGUAAAUUACAGGCAAACUAUGUAAUUAGUUAUUGUUUUUAUUUAUAUUUAAUGCUUCAUGCAUGUGCCGUAAGAUUAGAUGUGAUGGGAAAUCUUGAAAGUUUUUGGAUUUUGGAGAUCGAUGACACCGUCCAUAUAUUUUCCUCUAUAUCAAUGGAAAUAGUUAUUAUCAGUACUGAUUUGUUAGAGAGAAGAUGGUUGGGUCAGUGGCCAUUGCCUUUGACCGUUACACUCCUGCAUCCUCCACCUAUGUAUGAGCACUAUUGACCACCAACGAAACAUGGAUACUGCAAUAUAUUGCCCAAAAAUAUGAAAUAAUCAACCCCACAGAACACUUCGAACCAUGACGGAUCACCCAUGCCCGCUCGCCGCGUCCCAGCACUACACGCAACACCAUGCAUCAUGCACUUGUACGUACAAAUCUGUGUAUACCUGACUCAUAUCUCACGCACCUUUUUAUCCCCUUUUAAAUGCGUCGUUGCUCUCGUUUGAAGCAACGGAGCUUAUCCGUUGUUAGUCCGUUACAACCAUCCGCCGGCGCCAAAACGGCCACUGGAUCCAACCAAUGCAAUGCAAUCUAUAAAUUCCCUUGCACGGGGGCAUGGUGCUCCACACACAGCCAAGUAUAAGACUCCCUUGCAUUUUUAGCACACCAGCACAGAAGCAAGAGAGAGGUACUCCAUAGAGCAGAGAUGGCGAAGCACUCGGCUGCCAUGUGCAGCCUCCUAGUGUUGGUGCUGCUCUGCUUGGGCUCCCAGCUGGUCCAAUCCCAGGUCCUCUUCCAGGGGUUCAACUGGGAGUCGUGCAAGAAGCAAGGUGGGUGGUACAACUACCUCCGGGGGCAGGUGGACGACAUCGCCGCAACGGGGGCCACGCACGUCUGGCUCCCGCCGCCGUCGCACUCGGUGGCGCCGCAGGGGUACAUGCCCGGCCGCCUCUACGACCUCGACGCGUCCAAGUACGGCACCCACGCGGAGCUCAAGUCACUGAUCGCGGCGUUCCACGCCAAGGGCGUGCAGUGCGUCGCCGACGUUGUGAUCAACCACCGCUGCGCCGACUACAAGGACAGCCGCGGCAUCUAUUGCAUCUUCGAGGGCGGCACGCCCGACAGCCGCCUGGACUGGGGCCCCGACAUGAUCUGCAGCGACGACACGCAGUACUCCAACGGGCGCGGGCACCGCGACACCGGGGCCGACUUCGGCGCCGCGCCGGACAUCGACCACCUGAACCCGCGCGUGCAGGAGGAGCUCUCCGGCUGGCUCAACUGGCUCAAGUCCGACCUCGGCUUCGACGGCUGGCGCCUCGACUUCGCCAAGGGCUACUCCGCCGCCGUCGCCAAGGUGUACGUCGACAACACCGCUCCGACCUUCGUCGUCGCCGAGAUAUGGAGCUCCCUGCACUACGACGGCAACGGCGAGCCAUCCAACAACCAGGACGCCGACAGGCAGGAGCUGGUGAACUGGGCGCAGGCGGUGGGCGGCCCCGCCGCGGCGUUCGACUUCACAACCAAGGGCGUGCUUCAGGCGGCCGUCCAGGGCGAGCUGUGGCGGAUGAAGGACGGCAACGGCAAGGCGCCUGGGAUGAUCGGCUGGCUGCCGGAGAAGGCUGUCACGUUCGUCGACAACCACGACACCGGCUCCACGCAGAACUCGUGGCCAUUCCCCUCUGACAAGGUCAUGCAGGGCUACGCCUAUAUCCUCACGCACCCAGGAACUCCAUGCAUCGUAAGUCCCCAACAACCCUAUCACCAAUUAAGAAUUCUUAACCAUGAACUCCAGCAACUGACACUGUCCUUGCAUCUGUAAUUCAGUUCUACGACCAUGUUUUCGACUGGAACCUGAAGCAGGAGAUCAGCGCGCUGUCUGCGGUGAGGUCAAGAAACGGAAUCCACCCGGGGAGCAAGCUCAACAUCCUUGCCGCUGACGGCGAUCUCUACGUUGCCAAGAUCGACGACAAGGUGAUCGUGAAGAUCGGAUCACGGUACGACGUCGGGAACCUGAUCCCCUCAGACUUCCACGCCGUUGCCCAUGGCAACAACUACUGCGUUUGGGAGAAGUCCGGUCUGAGAGUUCCAGCGGGGCGGCACCACUAGACCCGUCCGUUCACUACAGAUAUUUUUCUUUUGAUCAGGUCUAUUUAAGCCUGGAAAAGAAAUUUAAGAGAGGCUAAAUAAGUAGCAUACGAUUCUAUCAAGCUUCUUUCAGCAAAUUAUUGAAAGAAGGUUCUAAAGUUUGGAUGUAUUAUUGUGGUAUGGGAAUUUUUGUAACCUCUUGAAAUGGGGAAACAAAGACUAUUCUUAUUAAGCUGAAACUCCCGGUGAUGUUAGAGCAUCUCCAAGAGCUUGGCUAAAAUUAGUAGCCAAAUUCUAAUGUUUAGCUAUUUUAUAAAAUAGACAACUUCUUAAAAUAGAAGAAGUCCACAACAGCCUUGCUAUCAGAUAGCUAGUGUCAGUGGUUGGCUAUAUAUGGCCAACCAAAAUCAAGGAAUAGCAAACUUUCUAUUUUACAAAACUAAAUAGCACAUCUGUUGGAGCCUAUUUUUCUGUUAUACAAGUUCUAAAAAGCCUUCAUAAUAAGAAUAGCAAAGUUGUUGGAGUUGCUCUUAGAACCCUUUUCUUGUGCUUGUCUAGCUGCCACCAGAAUCUCAGCAUGGCCAAAAAUAGGGAUGAAAACGAUCGGAAAUGAUCAAUAGGAGGCCAAAUCACUUUUAGGCCUUGUUUACUUGAGAAAUUUUUUGCAAAAUUACUACGGUAACUCUUUUGUUUGUAUGUGACAGAUAUUGUCCAACCAUAGACUAACUAGGCUCAAAAGAUUCGUCUCGUAAAUUUCGACCAAACUGUACAAUUAGUUUUUAUUUUCGUCUAUAUUUAUUUAAUACUCCAUGUAUGUGUCUAAAGAUUCGAUGUGACGGGAAAUCUUGAAAAUUUAGAGUUUUAGGGUGGAAGUAAACAAGGCCUUAUUUCCAUAUUUUAGAUCACUCCAAUGCCAAAAGGCCGAGAAUAUGGAGAAAUCUCUCUCCUCAUCUUUUUCCCAUUCUGGAAAGAAAGAGAGGGAAAAACACCUAGACAGGCAAAUAAAUAAGGCACAAUUUCCAAAAACAAGAUAGCGCCUCCCAACUACUGUUGAUGUCGCCCUCCCACACGAGACCGCCUCGGUCUUCCUCUGUUCUUCUAACCGACGAUCUUGUUAGUGGACAGAGGAGCGGGGACCCCGACCUAAUUUCUUUCUCUUCGUAAUUGUAGGUUAGGCCUAUUGAUCUAGUGUUUGAUUCCUGGUGAGGUGGUAAAGAUGAUCAAACUAUGGAAUAAGGCAUUAUAGUCUUGUCUCUACCUCGAGGUUUGAUCUAGCAUUAGUGAAGGGCAUGUUGAUCUAGGGUUAGCAUGUUCGAGGUUGCAAACCGAUCUAGGGAUCCAUUGAGAUAAUUUAGAGCUUGUCCUUCACUACAAGAAGUUGGGAAUACCACCCGGGAGGACCCAUCAAGGAGAUACACAUUUGUUGUCCUAGGGUUGACAAGGCCACCUAAGAACAUCGCUAGAUCUUGCAAAGAGAUGCACUAAACAACAAGAUAUUGGGAAAAAGGCAGAAAAAAGGGUAUAGUAGAUGUAAAAAUCUGAUUCAAUGUUGGAUCCCUCAAUCGACCAUGAUCCUUUGAUAUAUAUAUAGAGCGGGUGGUCUUAUCCUAGUAGGAAACAAGUACAAUUCAUAAUCUCCACAUUUCCUAGGCCAAAAUAGGUCCAAAAACCGGUUUGGAAAGUAACCAGAAUAGACUUGAAUAGGAAAGCCAUCCUAGUCGGGUCCCAAACUGACCAAGGUGGUUUUAAUGACCCUAAGGCACUAGCUGGUCGAGCGUAGCAGGAGAGCUGGUCUGGCUAGGCCCCAAACUGGCUAGGCUGGUUUUGUCAGCGCUUGUGGGGCGACUGCGAUGCAACGUAGAAAACCGCUCUAGAUGGUUUGGGGAGCCAGCUUGGCUAGUUUGGUAGACUAGGCACCAAUUCCUCCAAGUUUUGCCUCCAAGUGCCAUGUUCUGUAAUGUUUUACAUGAUCAUCUUAGCUCGAGGAACAUUGUUGCAGAGCCUUCUUAUCCCUUAGGUCAAUUUUAGUCGUCACCAUAUGCCACCCAGUGUCGAUGUCUUUUGUUGCACAUUUUGAUGAUGGGGCUAAGAAUGGGUGCAUCACAUUGAAUAUGUCCUCGCUUAUCUUCUCCAACCUCUCCCUCUUCUAUUGGUGAUGCCAAGCAUGUUGUAAUUUGUGCCUCUUGGUCUUUCUGGACCUCAUCGACACCACUUGGGGGUUGGCGAUACUUGGAGUCCCUUUUGCUACUUAUGGACUAUUGAUGAUUUGUAGCAGCACCCACGGGAUCUUCCCUCAUCACCACUAGAACUAGAUCCUCAAUCACAAUUGGGCCAUUGACUUAAAUAGUAGACACCUUCGUGGAACCGAUUGUAAUGGACGCGGGAGGAUCGGUUUCUUGUGCAGGAGUAGCAGAAACUUCUUUCUUUUUAGGCACAUAUACUUGCUUGAUUGGUGCCUUUCCUUUUACUUGUGCUGACAAUGUCCUCUAUGUAAUUAAUUAUUGUUGCCCCACAUUACUAGAGCUCAACUAUUAAUUGAAGUUUGAUUGGCAAAACACCAAAGGACGUGCAUUAGGACCAGCAACACCUCCUUGCACUUGUUGCACCAUAAGCAUCAUUGGCUGAUAAAGCACCCACACACCAUAGGGCCCCAACAUUGGAAGAAUAGCAGCUUACACAGGAGGACCCCUAGCAAGACACAUAAAGAGAUUUCCUCUACUGAUCUAGAGCCAAAGACAAAAUGAUUUGCUUCAACGACACAUCUUGUUUUGGAGGUGAGCAUUCACUUUUUUAAGGAUUAUUUCAUAGAAUUGGCCCUCAUUAAUUAUAUUUAUCCAUGAGAUUGUCAAAACAACACUGGUAUCUCACUACCUUCCCAGCGUUCUUGGACACAAUGGACUUCUAGUUCCAUACACUAAUCUUCGAAUGUUGAGGUUUAAAGGUGUGCACAUGCCCCCGAUGCUGCCUGAGCUAGCAAAGCUAGCCUGGCCGGUUGCACAUGAACUAGCUUAGCUAGUUUUUGGAACUGGCUUGGCUGGUCUUGCUAGGGCUGAUGCCGCUACACUGCUUGGUUGGUGUUGAGCCAACACUUUUGUUAGCCCCUUACGUAGAUAGGUGCUAAUAGUGAUCUUGAGCUUGUUCUUGCUAGCUUCAUUCUUUUCAAAAGCAGCUUGACAGACAACAAUUUUCUUCUUAUCCUUUCUUGUUCACAAAUCGUUAAAUUGUUUCCAGCGGUGGAUUUAGCCUGGUCUAGCUGAACCAAGACUAUCGAAUUGUUGCACUCAAGCACAUUCAGUGGGAAAGGAGCUUUGCUAAUAUGCAUUUCACCAAGACUCAAUCAUCCCUUGUCAAGAGCCACUUGGACCUGCUGAUGAAAAACAUUACAAUCAUCAGUGUCAUGAGAACUGGAAUAAUGCCAUUUACAAUAAGCAUGUCUGUUUAGUUCCUCGAGAGAUGGCAAAGGAUGAGUCAACUUAAUAUAUCCAUUUCAAAGCAAUUCAUCAUAAAUAUGAUCACACUGAGUAGGAUCAAAAGUAAAUUUCAUGUCAUCUUUUCGAUUCAUUUGAAUCGACUUAAGAGAUGGAACCGUGACAUUGUUAGAGGUAGCUAGCCAUACAAAUUCAGCAAGAUAGCACCCAUUAGAAUAAUCAUCUAAACUAUCUAAAUAGUAUUGUAUGGCAUGCAUAUUAGGAUGAUGUUGUUUGUGAUGCUCUCGGAUCUUUACUCCAGUUUCAAUGGCUAAAGUUCAUUGAAAAACCUUGAUUCACAUUAAAGAAAUCAAAACAUUGAAGCUUUUCUUUAUACUAAGAGCGCAAACCAUUAAGAGCCAAGUUAGCUAAAUCAGUUUCAACAAUGUAGGGAAAGAGGAUUGAGAAAGGGAUAUAAUGCACUUGUUUUUUCAACUUAUUCCCCCAUAUGUCGGAUUUUAGGGAGAGAAGAUUGUUUUCCUCACUCUAGUGGAGCUGCUCUAGCAGCCUGUUGGGUACCAUAAACUGGGAUACCCAGACAAAAAGCGGCAAAAAAUAAUAAAAGCGAUGCCUGACCCCUGGGCCUCGGGCACAAUCUCUGUCUCGCCCGACCCCUUGGCCUCGGGCACAGACUCCGUCUCACCCGAGCCCUUGGCCUCGGGCGCAAUCUCCGCCCCGACCGAGCCCCUACCUGGCGCGCCAACUGUCGGUGUCUGGACUCGGGGUCCAGGCACUAACAAGUGAUGAGUCUUCAUGUCCCCUUUAACCCGAAUGGUGAUGCAAGAAAACACAGAAGAUUUAUACUGGUUCGGGUCCUGAAUGCCCUACGUCCAGUGAGAGAGUUGGAGUCUGUGUUGCCUUGCACCCGAGAGUGCUUGUAGUAGGGUGAUAGCGAGAGAGGGAUAUGUCUCAGGUCUCGACUUAGGACGUGAGUGGAGGGAGGCUCAGUGUUCUGAGUCCCCUUUCUCUACGUGAGUGGAGUGAAGUGUGUGUUGUUCUUGUGGGCUACUCUUAUGCCUUGUGUUCGAUGAUGUCUAAAGGGUGCCCUGUCUCCCCUUUUAUAGCCACAAGGGGUGACAGAGCUUUUACAUGUGUAAGUUAGUAAAUCAUCUUCAAUGUGCCGUAGAGCGACAGUGCCGACCCUGCGGAGAUCGUCCGCCUCGUUCUUAGGGCAUGGCUGAUGGCGUGGUCGUUCUUGUGGAGCGUCGCCGAGCCCUGUUUGGAUCGUGGAGGUCGGGUCUGGAACGCCGUAGCUUGUCCUACAAUAGUGAAACAGUGACUGCCAAAGCAUGGUUAUAGUGGCAGGGGUUAAUCUCAUCCCAUUCCUUUUACUGUCGCGCAAUGCCUCACAGUGACCGAGGUAAGGCCCCACAGUGAUGGGAGUUGUUGGAACAGUGGUCGACAAGCCCUGCUGCAGUGUGGGGGGCAUGGCGCACGUCGCGUCAGGGGUACGACCACCGUGUAUUGGAAGCCUAGUAUCGAGGCUAGGGCUCGGUCGGGGCGGAGAUUGCGCCCGAGGCCAAGGGCUCGGGCAAGACAGAGUCUAAGCCCGAGGCCAAGGGGUCGGGCGAGGCGGAGAUUGCGCCCGAGACCCAAGGGUCGGGCGUCGCUUUUAUUCUUUUUUGCCGCUUUUUGUCCAAUUAAUUUGGUUAUCCCGGUUUAUGGUACCCAACACAGCCGUAGUUAUAUUCUAACAUUUGUGUUUUGGGAUGUGAAUAUUUUUCACUAAAUAAGUAUCAGUUUGUUUCCCAUUUGGAUAAAUAAAAUUUAUUUAUAAAAAAUUUAAAUAUAAUUUUCCUUGGGUUAUUGCAUUCAUCCGAGUGCAUAAUUUAUUUGAAUGAAAAAUAAAAAAAAUCGAUUAAGCCUUGAAUACUUGUAUUUCUAAAAAUAAAGUUCAAAUUUAUGUUUCAACAAUUGGAUGUCUCCAAAUGAGUUUAAGUUUAAAGUUCAAAAGUAUUUGAAAAUGUAGUUUAAAUGUAUUUUAAACUUUAUUUUAGAAAAGGUUUUAAAUUCUCAAAAAAAAAAGUUUAAAAUGUGUUUAAAAAAUAAGCUUAAUAAUGCUUCAGAAUUAAGUUACAAAAAUGUUUAAAAAUAUUUUAUUUGUUUUUCUUAUAAUGUCUUCAAAAUAGUUUUGAGACAUAUUUGAUAAAUUAGUUUCUUUUUCCAAAAUAUAGCUUAAAAUGAUUUUAAAAAAUUGUAUUUGACCAUUUCAACAUUUGAUGUCAUUUAAAAAUUCUAAAAUAUAAAUUUGAAAAUUAAAGAAAUUAAAAUGCACACUUGGGACUCUAAAGGACUUCAAACAAUAAACUUGUGAGCUAUAAAUAUAUAGACCACACUGAGAACUAUAACUUUAGCACAGAUCAUGUCAAUAUCCAUAGUUGUUUGAAGAUUUAAAAUUUUAAUCUAAGAAACUUAAAUGGGGCUUUAGACUAAUAAGUUUUGAAUAAAAAAAUUAUCAAUUACAAAGCUAUAUACCACGGAGCUCUACAUCUGUGGAAUAAACUUAGUCUUCAUCCUAUUUGAUAUAAAAAGUUAUGAUUUGUUUAGACAACUAUUUCUAGUGGCAAGCUUCUCAAGUGUUCUUUUACAGUUAAUCAAUUUUCGGUUGCAGCACUCUUUAGGAACGCACCACUAAAAAACACUAUUUUAUAGAGAUGGUCUGGAAUAUCUAAUAAUAGAGCCAAAUGCUUGGCUAUAAGUGAAAUUAUAAGAGCCAAGUCAUACAAUAGUUGUUUCUUAUUUGGCUAUAAAAAAGUUUUUUUUUAUUAUUAUGUGAUAUUAUGUCUUACUUCUCUUUCCUACUCCUUCUCACAUACACUAUUGUUUGAGCCGACAAAUGUCUAUGCUUUCGUGCCUAGCUUGGUGCUAGAAUAAGAGCCAACCUCUCUUAUUUGUCCUCUCUUCUCUCCUCUACAUGACUAGCUUGGCUAUAAGUUCAUUAUUAUACUUGCUACUUAUUCUUAACAUAGUAAGACAAUGUAAGACGACACCUCCUAGAUUAUCAUCUCUGCCAUAUCAAUAGAAAUAGAAAUAGUUACUAUCACUACCAGCUCAUCAAAACGGUGAGAGGAAGUGGCAAGAUAAGUCAACAUCAAUGUCUCACAAACACUAGAUAUGUUGAUCAUGGUUUACAUUGGCUUUGUUGGCCACAAAUAGAGUAAAAUGCAUGAGUGGUUUUUAAAGUUGUCUUGAGUAAUCGUUCAGGUCCUUAAUCUCUAAAAGGGCAAUGCUAAGGUACACUUUUUACCUAGAAGAAAGUAAUAUCUCAAAUAGAUCUGAGCCAUUGAUUUUAUGAGUUUUAUGAAUUAAUUAAGAAAUUAAAAAUCUAGGAAAACAAAUAAAACUUCUCUCACUUCCCAUAAUGACGUGAGUAAACAUGAUAGGGAAUCCUUCUGAUUCUUCUCUAAUACUGUCAGUAACACAUGAUUUUAUGGGAGCAGCCAGCUUGACAUGUUUUAAAAUAUGUUUCAAAAUCUUUUACACUCAUAUUUUAAAUCUUAUUUUCACAAUUAUAAUUUGUUCUACUAAAAUAAUCAAUAAAGCAAAUAGGUAUUGCAUUUGUUGUCUUCAAAAUCAAAGUUGAUAUUAGUAUAUAAGUAUAAAUUCGAACUAUCCAUAUUGGUAUUGAAAUUUGAAUUAAACUCCUACUUAAUAAAAACAUGCCAAAAUACGAUCUCGAAAAAAAUUAAACUAAAAUAGGGUAAAUAGUUCAAAUUCAAUUUCACACGUUUUUGAUUUGAAUCUACUCACGGUCUUAGGCAUGCACACGCACAUGCAAAUCACUGAGGUUAGCAUGCAUCAAUCAAAUCAAGAAAAAAAUUAUUUAUAUCUAAACUUCCCUUAAUUGUCUUAUUUUACAAAAUAAAAAAUAUGUAUUCCACAUAUUACCUCCUAUCAUCUAAGUCUAAAAUGAAAUAUGGAUACUGUAAUACCUUACCAAAAAUAUGCAAUAAUCAACCCGCAGAGGCCAAAGAACACUUCGAACCAUGACGAAAGAUAGCCAAACGUUACCGCAAUACCUAUGCUUGUUCGCCGCGUCCCUGCACUACACGCAACCCCAUACAUGCAUUGUGCGUAUAUAUAUACACUAUACACGACACAUACCUCAAGGACCUUUUUAUCCCCUUUUAAAUGUGCCACGAUAGCAUUACACUUUCCCCAUCAUCCAUAUGUCGUUGCUCUCGUUUGAAGCAACGGAGCUUAUCCGUUGUUAGUCCGUUACAACCAUCCGCCGGCGCCAAAACGGCCACUGGAUCCAACCAAUGCAAUGCAAUCUAUAAAUUCCCUUGCACGGGGGCAUGGUGCUCCACACACAGCCAAGUAUAAGACUCCCUUGCAUUUUUAGCACACCAGCACAGAAGCAAGAGAGAGGUACUCCAUAGAGCAGAGAUGGCGAAGCACUCGGCUGCCAUGUGCAGCCUCCUAGUGUUGGUGCUGCUCUGCUUGGGCUCCCAGCUGGUCCAAUCCCAGGUCCUCUUCCAGGGGUUCAACUGGGAGUCGUGCAAGAAGCAAGGUGGGUGGUACAACUACCUCCGGGGGCAGGUGGACGACAUCGCCGCAACGGGGGCCACGCACGUCUGGCUCCCGCCGCCGUCGCACUCGGUGGCGCCGCAGGGGUACAUGCCCGGCCGCCUCUACGACCUCGACGCGUCCAAGUACGGCACCCACGCGGAGCUCAAGUCACUGAUCGCGGCGUUCCACGCCAAGGGCGUGCAGUGCGUCGCCGACGUUGUGAUCAACCACCGCUGCGCCGACUACAAGGACAGCCGCGGCAUCUAUUGCAUCUUCGAGGGCGGCACGCCCGACAGCCGCCUGGACUGGGGCCCCGACAUGAUCUGCAGCGACGACACGCAGUACUCCAACGGGCGCGGGCACCGCGACACCGGGGCCGACUUCGGCGCCGCGCCGGACAUCGACCACCUGAACCCGCGCGUGCAGGAGGAGCUCUCCGGCUGGCUCAACUGGCUCAAGUCCGACCUCGGCUUCGACGGCUGGCGCCUCGACUUCGCCAAGGGCUACUCCGCCGCCGUCGCCAAGGUGUACGUCGACAACACCGCUCCGACCUUCGUCGUCGCCGAGAUAUGGAGCUCCCUGCACUACGACGGCAACGGCGAGCCAUCCAACAACCAGGACGCCGACAGGCAGGAGCUGGUGAACUGGGCGCAGGCGGUGGGCGGCCCCGCCGCGGCGUUCGACUUCACAACCAAGGGCGUGCUUCAGGCGGCCGUCCAGGGCGAGCUGUGGCGGAUGAAGGACGGCAACGGCAAGGCGCCUGGGAUGAUCGGCUGGCUGCCGGAGAAGGCUGUCACGUUCGUCGACAACCACGACACCGGCUCCACGCAGAACUCGUGGCCAUUCCCCUCUGACAAGGUCAUGCAGGGCUACGCCUAUAUCCUCACGCACCCAGGAACUCCAUGCAUCGUAAGUCCCCAACAACCCUAUCACCAAUUAAGAAUUCUUAACCAUGAACUCCAGCAACUGACACUGUCCUUGCAUCUGUAAUUCAGUUCUACGACCAUGUUUUCGACUGGAACCUGAAGCAGGAGAUCAGCGCGCUGUCUGCGGUGAGGUCAAGAAACGGAAUCCACCCGGGGAGCAAGCUCAACAUCCUUGCCGCUGACGGCGAUCUCUACGUUGCCAAGAUCGACGACAAGGUGAUCGUGAAGAUCGGAUCACGGUACGACGUCGGGAACCUGAUCCCCUCAGACUUCCACGCCGUUGCCCAUGGCAACAACUACUGCGUUUGGGAGAAGUCCGGUCUGAGAGUUCCAGCGGGGCGGCACCACUAGACCCGUCCGUUCACUACAGAUAUUUUUUUUUUGAUCAGGUCUAUUUAAGCCUGGAAAAGAAAUUUAAGAGAGGCUAAAUAAGUAGCAUACGAUUCUAUCAAGCUUCUUUCAGCAAAUUAUUGAAAGAAGGUUCUAAAGUUUGGAUGUAUUAUUGUGGUAUGGGAAUUUUUGUAACCUCUUGAAAUGGGGAAACAAAGACUAUUCUUAUUAAGCUGAAACUCCCGGUGAUGUUAGAGCAUCUCCAAGUGCUUGGCUAAAAAUAGUAGCCAAAUUCUAAUGUUUAGCUAUUUUAUAAAAUAGACAACUUCUUAAAAUAGAAGAAGUCCACAACAGCCUUGCUAUCAGAUAGCUAGUGUCAGUGGUUGGCUAUAUAUGGCCAACCAAAAUCAAGGAAUAGCAAACUUUCUAUUUUACAAAACUAAAUAGCACAUCUGUUGGAGCCUAUUUUUCUGUUAUACAAGUUCUAAAAAGCCUUCAUAAUAAGAAUAGCAAAGUUGUUGGAGUUGCUCUUAGAACCCUUUUCUUGUGCUUGUCUAGCUGCCACCAGAAUCUCAGCAUGGCCAAAAAUAGGGAUGAAAACGAUCGGAAAUGAUCAAUAGGAGGCCAAAUCACUUUUAGGCCUUGUUUACUUGAGAAAUUUUUUGCAAAAUUACUACGGUAACUCUUUUGUUUGUAUGUGACAGAUAUUGUCCAACCAUAGACUAACUAGGCUCAAAAGAUUCGUCUCGUAAAUUUCGACCAAACUGUACAAUUAGUUUUUAUUUUCGUCUAUAUUUAUUUAAUACUCCAUGUAUGUGUCUAAAGAUUCGAUGUGACGGAAAAUCUUGAAAAUUUAGGGUUUUAGGGUGGAAGUAAACAAGGCCUUAUUUCCAUAUUUUAGAUCACUCCAAUGCCAAAAGGCCGAGAAUAUGGAGAAAUCUCUCUCCUCAUCUUUUUCCCAUUCUGGAAAGAAAGAGAGGGAAAAACACCUAGACAGGCAAAUAAAUAAGGCACAAUUUCCAAAAACAAUAUAGCGCCUCCCAACUACUGUUGAUGUCGCCCUCCCACACGAGACCGCCUCAGUCUUCCUCUGUUCUUCUAACCGACGAUGGACGUCAUUACUUAAGCCCUGCUAGCUACACUCUGAGCAAAGAAGAGAAGGAAAGCAUGUUUGAAUGUCUUAGCAGCAUCAAGGUCCCAUCUGGAUUCUCCUCCAAUAUCAAGGGAAUAAUUAAUGUGCCAGAGAAGAAAUUCCUGAACUUGAAGUCCCAUGACUGUCACGUUCUAAUGACGCAAUUGCUGCCGGUCGUUUUAAGAGGAAUUCUACCUCCACACGUACGUCUAGCCACCGUAAAGCUAUGUGCAUUCCUCAAUGCAAUUUCUCAGAAGGCAAUCAAUCCAGAGCAACUAGCUACUCUGCAGAAUGAUGUCGUUCAAUGUCUCGUCAGCUUUGAGUUGGUGUUCCCUCCAUCCUUCUUCGAUAUCAUGACACACCUCCUAGUUCAUCUGGUCAAAGAGAUUCGUAUUCUCGGUCCUGUGUUCCUACACAACAUGUUCCCCUUCGAGAGAUUCAUGGGUGUCCUAAAGAAAUAUGUCCAUAGUCGUUUCCGGCCAGAAGGAAGCAUUGCCAAGGGCUACGGAACAGAGGAGGUCAUAGAGUUCUGUGUUGACUUUAUUCCAGACCUUGACCCAAUUGGCAUUCCUGAAUCUCGACACGAGGGCAGACUCAGCGGAAAGGGAACACUUGGGAAGAAAACAUAUAUUGGUACGGGAAACGAUUACUUCAAUAAAGCACACUACACAGUUCUCCAGAACUCCUCAUUGGUGGAACCAUAUGUUGAGGUACACAAAGAUUACCUACGGUCCCAGUGGCCCGGGAAGAAUGAAGCUUGGAUAAUGCGUCAGCACAUGGAAACUUUUGGCGAUUGGUUGCGCAAAAAAUGUCAAGGUGAUGAAAACAUUGAUGAGCAGCUUUAUUUGUUGGCCAGGCAACCAUCAUGGCAUGUCCUCACAUACAAAGGGUACGAGAUAAAUGGUAACACAUUUUACACAGUUGGCCAAGAUAAAAGGAGCACCAACCAAAAUAGUGGUGUACGCGUGGAUGCCACGGAUCCAAAUGGGAACAGACAAACAUAUUAUGGACGCAUAGAAGACAUAUGGGAACUAGUCUAUGCAGCUAAUUUUAAAGUUCCUUUGUUCCGGUGCCAAUGGGUGAAGAUGACCGGAGGUGGGGUAACAGUCGACAAGGAGUAUGGGAUGACAACCGUGGACCUUAACAAUAGUGGGUUCAAAGACGAACCAUUCGUCCUUGCUGCAGACGUGAGUCAGGUGUUCUAUGUCAAAGAUAUGUCUACGAAACCAAAGAGAGGAAAAAAUGAUGACCACUCAAUCAUCAAUGAGCCAAAGCGCCACAUUGUCCUUUCUGGGAAAAGAAACAUUGUCGGAAUUGAGGACAAGUCAGACAUGUCAGGCGAUUACGAAUUCCGCCCUUCAUAGUCAACAAAGACCCAAGCAUUCUGUUAAACAAUGAGGAUACUCCAUGGUUACGGCAGGAUCAUAACCAAGGGUCAUACGUCAAGAAGAAGUUCACUGUUGUGUCGGCUUGACUUUGUAUGAAACUAUAUUUGAGAAUUGUGAAUUUUGAUGUGUGUAACAAACUUUGUAUUCAUGACUUUGUAUUCAUGACUUUUCCAAUUGUUAGAGAUCAUCAAAUGCAAAAUUUGUCAUGACUAUAUGUGUCAAUUGUGGAUUUUCAACUACACCUUCCCAAAACUUUGUCAAAUGCAAAAAUGGUCUAUAUAUGAAAUGUAGAUUUUGAUGAGUGGAACAAUAUUGGUAUUCAUGACUUUUCCAUUCGAGACCAUGUAGGGUUCCGAAACCGCUGCGUGGCUAUGAGUUCUAUGAAAAUUCAAAAUUCAGUGGUUCAAACUUUUCCAAAUGAAAAGUUGACCAUUAGACAAAAUGUAGAACUUGAUGAGUGUAGCAAACUUUGUAUUCAUGACUUUUCCAUUUGGGACAAUCUAGGGUUCGGUCAAAGGGUGUGUUCAUCAAGAUAUAUAUUUUUAUAUGAUUUUUUAUUUGAUGAAAAUUAUACCCAACUAGCAUUCCUAGUAAUAAAUAACAAAAAUAAAAAGUUUUACGUCAAUAUGAUGUGAAAAUAAAUUUCCAGUUCAUUGGAUAUAGUUUUUGUAAAUUUAUUGGAAUAAUAUAUUUUUGCAUUAACAAAAUACUAAACAUUUCUUACAAAAUCAUUGUAAAUUAUAAAAAUACAAUAAGAUAUUUAAGUUUAAAAAUUUUCAUGUGUACAUUAAAACAAAUUACAAUAUAUGUCACUCUUUAAAAAACAUUAUGCAAAAUAUUUAAUUUACUAUACAAUUUAUAAUAUAAACUGUAUAUAUAAAACAAUUGAAAAACCCUAAACUAAAAAAAUGGGCCUUUAGCACCGGCCCAUAGUGGGAACCGAUGCUAAAGGGUCCUGAAAAUUUCAGGACCCCGCCCGAGCCCGCCUAGGACCCUUUAGCACCGGUCCGUGGCUGGAACCGGUGCUAAAGGGUCCCUUUAGCACCGGCUGGUAACACGAGCCGGUGCUAAAGGGUGACCCUUUAACACCGGCGCGUAACACCAGCCGGUGUUAAAGGCCCUUUAGCACCGGUUCCAGCCACGGACCGGUGCUAAAGGGUCCGCCUCUAUUUAAGUCAUGGGCGUCCUGGAUCUGAGCCGUUCGUCUUCGUCUUCGUCGAGUUCAUCGUAUCCAGCGCCGCCGCCCGUUCAUCUGCCCGCGCGCGACCUCGCCGAUCUCCAGCGCCGCCGUCUCCAGCGCCGCCGCGGUCAGCUCCGGCCACCAGCGCCGCCGCCGCGACCACCAUCUCCACCAGCGCCGCCAUCUACGUCUCGAUCUCCACGCCCGGCCCCGCGCGCGUCCACUGCAAUGUAUAAUCCAAAACCAUAUAUAUACAUAUAUAUAUAUAUAUAAUAAAUACUCCACUGCAGUUUAUAUAUAUAAAAUAAAUAAAUGUUAUGAAUUAUAUGUCAAUCACUUUGCAAUUUUAGUGAUUUCUAUAUAUUUGUACACAAAAAUAAUAAUUAAUGAAUGCUAGCUAGUAUAUAUAUUAAGUAUAUAUAUAUACACACUAAAAAAUAAUGCAUGAUGUUAGUAUUUUAUUCUAGUAAUAGUUUUUAGUACAUUAGUAUAAGUGUAGUGUUGACCUGUUAUAAAUUAUAUUAUGCUAGUAUAUAUUUGUAAUAUAUUAAUAUUAUUCUUGUAUUAUUUUGUAGUAUUAUUUUUUUAGUAUAUUAUUUGUAGUAUUAUUUUUUAGUAUAUAUUUGUAGUAUAUUAUUCUUGUAUUAUUCUUGUAUUAUUAUUUUAUUCUUGUUUUAUUCUUGUAUUAUUCUAGUGUAUUACUAGGCUUAAGAUUCUAGUAUUAUUUUUUAGAGCACUCCAACACUUUUAUUAUUUUUGUAGUAUUCUUGUAAUAUAUAUUCUUGUAGUAUUUUUAGUAUAUAUUUGAAGUAUAUUAUUCUUGUAUUAUUCUUGUAUCAUAUUUUAUUUCUAGUGUGUUGUAUAUAUUAUUGUUUGUACUAUUAUUCUUGUAUUAUUCUUGUAUUAUAUUUUAUUUUGUAGUGUUUUGUAUAUAUUAUUGUUUGUACUAUUAUUCUAGUAUUAUUCUUUUAGUAUAUUAUUCUAGUGUAUUACUAGGCUUAAGAUUCUAGUAUUAUUUUUUAGAGCACUCCAACACUUUCAUUAUUUUUGUAGUAUUCUUGUAAUAUAUAUUCUUGUAGUAUUUUUAGUAUAUAGUAUGUAUGUAUGUUCUAUUUUUUUAUAUAUGUAUUAUUUUUUGUAUGUAUGUAUAUUAUUUUUUGUACAUAUACACACAUAUAUAUGUAAUAUUUUUUGUAUGUAUGUAUUAUUCUAGUAUUGUUUUUUAUUCUAAUGUAUUACUUGGCUUAAAAGAUCCUAGUAUUAUUUUUAGAGCACUCCAACACUUUCAUUUGUAGUAGUAUUAGUGUAUUUCUUAUCUUAUAUAGAAUAUAUAUAUGUAUGGUUGCAGACAUAGAAAUGGCUGACCGUUCUCAUGAUGAUCCUGAUUAUAUGGAAGCUGCCAUUCAAAAUAUAAUCGACGACGGUAGUCAGUACUUCGUUGAUUACCACGACAUCAUGCAAGGCAAUCCUACUGAGCAACAAGAGGGCAAUGCCCCUGAGCAACAAGAGGGCAAUGCCCCUGAGCAACAACUUGUCGUGCAACAAGAAGAAAAUACUGGCGAGGUAUGUAAAUGUAAACAUAUAUAAAUAAUGCAUCUCUUACAUUAGGUUUUAGACUUAUUACUUGGUUAUUAAUUUAGUAUUUUUGUUUCUAUAUGUACGUGUAGCCUUCUGGAUCGACCUCUACGGGGAGAAGCGUACCUCUACGAGGGCCAAAGAAGCCGUUGGAGGGCCGCUAUGUAAUCUCUGAGUUUGAGAUAGCUACAGGCAGACCACUUGGUGAGCAUGCAAAUAAAUAUGUUAAUCACUGUGGAUAUCUUGUGAGAGAUCAAAUACCGAUCAGUUGUCGUGAAUGGAGAGAGAAGCGAGGUGCUCCUGAGAUCAGUUUUGUCUCUGAUCGUGACAAGGAGUUAGUUUGGAAAGCCGUCACAGACGUUUUCACCUUCGACACCAACGAUGAAGAGUUGAAGGUGCGAAUUUAUGACUGGACUAUGAAGAAGAUGGCAGUACUCUUCCAGAAUUGGAAGAAGUCUUUGUACAAUAAAUAUGUCAAGAAAAACGAGACUCCAGAUUUCAACCUCAAGCAAUAUGUAAAGCUGAGGGCCUUCUGGGAUGACUUUGUGCAGUACAAAACAUCAGAAGAGGGCGAGGAACGAGCCAAUAGAAACAAAGAGAAUGCCAGUAAAAAGGCAUACCACCAUCAUAUGGGAUCAGGUGGUUAUUACAGUGUUGUUCCCAAGUGGGACCGAAUGGAACAGGAGCUACUUGCUAGGGGGGUCACACCCGAGACAAUAGCAAAGAAUUGGAGCGAGCGCUCCAAGCAUAGGUUCUACGGUCAUGGGGAAGCGUGGACCCAGACACCGGGGCGCUAGUUUGGGGCCAAGAAAUCUCUAGAGCAGCAGAGAGACUAGUCCGUGCACGAGAGGCGGUUCAGUCUGGUGAGUUCAGGCCUAACAGGGAGAAGGAUGAACUCACCUAUGCGCUUGAAAAUCCUGAGCACGGUGGGCGUACAAGAGGCUAUGGGGCAGUUCCGUGGCUGCAAUCAUUCCAAGCCGAUCAAGAUACCUACAGAAGCCGCCAGAGAAAGAAGGAUGAGGAGGCAGAGCGGAUCCGCCGCCUGGAAGCUUUUGUUCUGCAGUCACAAGAGCGCGAGAAAGCUCGUGAAGAAUGGAUGCAGGCAGAGAUUCAAAGGCAAGUGCAAGCAGCACUUAGUCAAAUGACGAAAGGGCAAGGUACAUCACAGCCUGAGGUCAAUGUUAGCCCCCCAGGCCAGUUGAAAAGCAGCUGCGCAUCCACGGAAGUACCAACCAUUCAGGAUGACACGAAGCUACACUUCCCCGUGGAUGAUGUCACAGAGGCUUUUACUACCUGUGAGCUGCAUGUACCAGAUGGGAAUGCCACCAAAAAGGUGGCUAUCGCUGUUGUCAACCCUAUCGACCGAACGGGCACUCCAAGAAUCCAUAAUCGACCAGUACCUGGUGGAUAUGCUAGCGUCUCGGUUGAUAGGGUUGAGAAAGGUUGUGGCAAUGUGCCACUAGACAUAGAAGGGGGAGACGGAGAGAAGACCUUAGGUGAAGCUGAGAAGACAUUUAUUUGUUGGCGCAAGCGCUUCAUAAUUAUUCCUCAACAUAGGUUUGUGUGUGAUUUUACUUCUUAUAUUAUUUAUUAUGUAUUGAAAUUUAAAAAAAGUUUACUCACAAAACUUGUAAUUGUUUUCUUUGCAGGGACUCCUCCAACCUAAGUUCAGUUCUCUCCCCAGCGCAUCAUAGUGCUGCGGGCGGUGACAAUGCUGGAUCUCCUCCAACACCUGCGGCGGCCACACCGACCCCGCCACCGCCUCCACCACGGUCUCCACCUCCUCCACCGAGGUCUCCAACUCCUCCACCGCGUUCUCCAACUCCUCCACCGCGUUCUCCAACGCCAAAAAGAUCGGGCCCACCCCCUCCACCGCCUGCACCGCCCUCUCCAAAGAGUGCACGGUCGGUCCCCUCGCCUCCAAAGCGAGGUAGUAAGAAGCGGUCCGUCCAAGAAGGACCGAAGUCAUCGGUCCCACCUCCAAAGAAGGCUGCCUCAGCAAAGAGAGCUAAGACGCCAGAAAAAUUACCUUACGAAAAGAGUGAAGAGGAGGUAAUUGCUACAUCUAAAGCUGAGGUCCAACAAUUUUUUGAUAAAAUAAAGGAGGAAAGGAAAAAACGGCUUAACCCAGAAAAGCCGUACUUUUAUGUGAAGCCAUCGGAACUGAGGCAGAAGGUGGCGGACCAUCAAAAGAAGCAACGCGAAGCUCAGAAAAAGCCAGCACUUUCGGACUAUGAGCGGUCUCUGGUCAAGUCUUCACAGCCUACUAAGAAGAGAGUAGGAAAGGGGGUCCCACAGCUCGGAGAAGUAUCAAAACCGGUGCCCCCUUUGAUUGUGCCAAAUCAAUACGGCUCAAAUGAAGACUUGAUGCCAAAGAAAUCCUUAGCGUUGUCUGAGCUAGACUCGCUUGAGAGUUACUUUGGACAGAGCGGUUUAAAUAUAGAAGAAAUUACCGCCAUUCUUGGAUGCCAUACAUUUGAAAAAGCCGAGGUAGUUGAUCAAUGGAGGGCAAGAUAUGAACCGGGCAGGAGUCUAUUCGACCCUAAGCGUUUACACGAGCUCGGCACACAAAUGUUUGCAAUAAACAAAUGGUGCAUUGAGGCGUCUAAAAGGGGAGAGAAUUGGAUUUCUGUUCGUAUUAGACAACAUCACUACUUCCGUGGAGAUGACCUCAUAUACGUGCAGUUCGAAGAAUUGCACCAAUUAUGCCACCUCGACGCUCUUGACAAAUCUCUUGUCAGCUGCUUUUGUCUGUAAGUAUUUUUCCUUUUUAUUAUACUUCUAACUUCUUUAAUUACAUGUAUAUAAUCCUUACACACUUAGGAUUUGUAUGUAUAUAUGCAGGCACCAAAUGAGAGAGCUCAGAAUGAGAAAUGACAAUAGUAUUGGGUUCGUUGACCCUUAUAUUGUUUUCAAGGCUCCGCAGGCAGUGUGGACAGCAGAUUAUGAGACAGAAAUCUGCACCAAUCUUAUGAGGUUCUUUGUAAACCAAAAAGAAAAACAAAAAAUACUCUUCCCCUUCAACUUCGAGUGAGUUAUAUAGUUAUUAAGUGCAUGCAUAUUUUAUUUUACAUUAUAGGACUGACCCUAUAUAUGUGUGUGUAAACAGCUUUCACUGGAUACUCAUGGUCAUUGAAAUUCCCAAGAACCGAUUGAUAAUCUUUGACUCAAUGAGAAAACCACAAGAAAAUUAUCAACAAAUGGUAAACGUUAUUCAAAGGUACGUAAUGUCGAUCUCAGCUACAAAAAUAUCAUAAUAUGACUCUGUAAUUAUUAGUUCACGAUCCACAAUGGCUGUGUAUAGGGUUUGGGAAAGAUUCAUUGACCGUGAACAUCUCAGUGGAUGUAAAGCGCCGCUUAACAUAAUACAUCCACAAGUAAGUUCUACUAGCUAACAAACUUUCGCUAACUUUUAGCCUUCUUAUUGUCGUGGUCAUGAAUAUUUAUAUAUAUAUAUACAUCGUACAGUGGUGUUUAAGACAAGAAGGGGGGAACAAUCUAUGUGCAUAUUACGUGUGCAAAUUCAUGAUGGCACAAGUCAAUCAAACACCCACAGAGACGCUCAGAGUACGUUACAUGUCUCUUUUCAUUAUCUCCUGAAUUAUAUUGAAUAACUUAGAUAACUAAUACCUUUUUUAUUUAUUUCAAAUUAAAGACGGAAUGGCUGAGGGAAAAGGUCCUACAACAAGACCGAAUCAAAGCUAUCCAAGAGACGAUAGCAGGAUUUCUCCGCGACCAAGUGAUCAAUCCAAACGGCGAGUUUCACUUCAACGGCAACGAAACUCUUAUACCAAACAACGAUGAUCAUUUGUAUCGUUUGUAGACAUUGGGAGAACAAACUCUAUGUAUAUAUGUGUUACGAAUUUUGUACAUAUAAAACUAUAUAUAUAUAAAGCUUUUUACAUAUAUAUUUAAUUUUUGAUGUGGUCUAUUCAUUUUAUUAUAGGCAAAGCUUAACUAUUAAGCUUAGCCUAUAAUUUUCAUUUAUAUAUGCUUAAUAUGCGUGUAAUAUAAAUAUAUUAUUGUAUCAGCAAAACAUGUAUUGAAAAACCUAUUAUUAUAUAUUAUAUAUAAACAAUAAACAGAACCGAAGAAGUGAACCAAAAAAAAAAGAAAAAGAAACCCUUUAACACCUGCAACGUGGCAGCCCUGGCAGGACCCUUACCAACCGGUGUUAAAGGGGGGCUUUAGCCCCGGUUAACGGAACCGGGACUAAAGGGUGGGCCUUUAGUCCCGAAAGGGUAGCACCGGCUCGGGAACCGGGGCAACAGGCCCUUCCCGACCGGUGCUAAUGCCCGAACGUGUGGCAGUGAAGGUCAUGCAGGGCUACGCCUAUAUCCUCACGCACCCAGGAACUCCAUGCAUCGUAAGUCCCCAACAACCCUAUCACCAAUUAAGAAUUCUUAACCAUGAACUCCAGCAACUGACACUGUCCUUGCAUCUGUAAUUCAGUUCUACGACCAUGUUUUCGACUGGAACCUGAAGCAGGAGAUCAGCGCGCUGUCUGCGGUGAGGUCAAGAAACGGAAUCCACCCGGGGAGCAAGCUCAACAUCCUUGCUGCUGACGGCGAUCUCUACGUUGCCAAGAUCGACGACAAGGUGAUCGUGAAGAUCGGAUCACGGUACGACGUCGGGAACCUGAUCCCCUCAGACUUCCACGCCGUUGCCCAUGGCAACAACUACUGCGUUUGGGAGAAGUCCGGUCUGAGAGUUCCAGCGGGGCGGCACCACUAGACCCGUCCGUUCACUACAGAUAUUUUUCUUUUGAUCAGGUCUAUUUAAGCCUGGAAAAGAAAUUUAAGAGAGGCUAAAUAAGUAGCAUACGAUUCUACCAAGCUUCUUCUUUCAGCAAAUUAUUGAAAGAAGGUUUUAUUGUUUGGAUGUUUCUGGCAUAUGAAUUUUGUAACCUCUUGAAAUGAGGAAACAAAGACUAUUCUUAUAUUAAGCUGAAACUACCGGUGAUGUUAAGAGCAACUCCUCGUAUAAUUAUCUUAAAAAGCCAUCAGAUUUGAGUUGUGAUUGAUGGAAUUAACACAUUUUAUUUGGUUGUUUCCUUUUUAUCAACGUCAAUUGUGAUGCCAAAAAUUUUCAACAUGAAAAUGUUGAAGAGUGACUCGAUGAGCUUAGGGCUAUGGUGAGGACAUGCUAUGAUGGCGAGGGAUAUACCACUAUAGGGGAAAGAGCGGCCUAGGAUUGAAAGUUUGAAACUGGUUGAAUGACGAGCCUUUAUAUGCGGGUGGAGUACGAGGUAUUGGACUGGGCGAGGAGUCCUCUAGCUUAGUGCGAAUGCUCGGUGGAGGGGGCAUAUGCUACCCCCUCCCACGAAAUCCAAAGUUUUAUUAUUCUUAUGUGCAUGUCAAGACUUCAAUGUUUGGUUUGAAUAUAUAGCUCUUGUGCAUUUGCAUAAAAGUCCAAUUGUAACACAAAUAUAUAUAUACCAUUAUUUGUUUUCCAUACUUGGAUUCUUUAUUCAUUGUCCUUUUAUAUAUUUUGAUGGACCUAGACCAUUAUAGUCUGAACCUAUAAGAUGAAUAUGAUAUUUUAUAUCCAUUACUAUGAUUCAAAGAGUUGAUUUUCUUAACGUUACUUACGGUGACACACCAACUUUUAUUUAGGUUUUUUUUCCCGACGCACAGGAAACGAGCUAAUCUCUUUGUUCUAAAUUAUAAGUUACUUUGAUUUUUCUGUUAUAUCUAUUUUGCUAUGCAUCUAGAUAUAAUAAUGUGUCUAGAUAUAUAACAAAAUGAAUUAACCAAAAAAAUUCAAAACAACUUAUAAUUUAGAAUAGAGAGAGUACUUUUUAUUUAUUUUUUAUUUUUAUUUUAAUUAUUCACUGACAAUAAUAUUUCUGAUAUCAACUAAGAUUUACUAGAAAUGUAAUAAAAUGUUAUUGUCGCUACAUUAUGAAAUGCUAUUGUUUAAAUUUAUGACAGGUCAUGAAGAUAAUAGUUUUUUUUAAAAAAAUACCACUUCAUGUGGUAUAUGGUACAUCUUAAUAUUUCUUUUCUAUGAUUUAAUUAAACCUACGAUAAUUUGGUUUAAGAUGGACCAUGUUCCCCGAAGGCAUUGGUAGCCGCCGUGGACGAGCCACGUCACCAAAAUCCCCAUCCUGCUUUGACUUUUCCAAUGCUGUAUAUCACUCCGGUCCCUGUCAGUGAGGUCAGCCUCUAGAGCAUCAUCUGCAAUUCUGCAUAUGCCAAGACGUCAGCACCACUCCCAUCGCGCACGGGGCCGCGCACUAAUCGACGGCCCGCCCGUGCCCGAACCGGAUCUUUUACGACCCGGAGCUCCUCGCAUCCACACGUUUUCCACAACCCGGAGGGAGAUUCUGGAAAUAGAAAGAGCAUGGACCAACCAGUCUCGUUCCGAGCUCCCACCUGGCGCCGCUCUGUAUCUGACUAUCUGUGCACCGUGUCGCCGUGUGGCCGUCGAUGGCUGUCAACCUAUAUAAGCGCCUCCACCCGCAACUUCCCGCUUCAGUUCAAAACGUUCAGACACACUCAAACUCCAAGCCCCUCAAUCUCGAUCGACCUCGGUAAUGACCAAGAAGCUCAUCUCCGCCAUGGCCGGGAAGCAAGGUUUCAAGGAGCAGCAGUUCAAUGAUCAGAGGAGACAGCAGGCUUCGAUUCAAGGAGACGACAUCGCCAAGAGCCUGGUGGGGUUCGGCGGCGGCGGCGGCAGGCUGAUCUCCCAUGAGCAGGAGGACGCCAUCAUCGUGGCGGCGCUGCGGCACGUGGUGUCCGGGUACAGCACGCCGCCGCCGGAGGUCGUCACGGUGGCGGGCGGCGAGCCGUGCGGGGUCUGCGGCAUCGACGGAUGCCUCGGCUGCGACUUCUUCGGGGCGGCGCCGGAGCUGACGCAACAGGAAGCAGUGAACUUCGGCACAGGGCAGAUGGUAGCGACAGCUGCGGCAGCGGCGGCCGGAGGGGAGCACGGGCAGAGGACGCGGCGGCGUCGGAAGAAGAACAUGUACCGCGGCGUGCGGCAGCGGCCGUGGGGGAAGUGGGCGGCGGAGAUCCGCGACCCGCGGCGCGCGGCGCGCGUGUGGCUGGGCACGUUCGACACCGCGGAGGAGGCCGCCAGGGCCUACGACUGCGCCGCCAUCGAGUUCCGCGGCGCGCGCGCCAAGCUCAAUUUCCCGGGCCACGAGGCGUUGCUGCCGUUCCAGGGCCAUGGCCAUGGCGGCGACGCUUGCGCCACCGCGGCGGCGAACGCCGAGACGCAGACGACACCGAUGCUGAUGACGCCGUCGCCGUGCAGUGCAGACGCCGCGGCGGCGGCGCCGGGAGACUGGCAGCUGGGCGGCGGCGUGGACGGCGGAGAGGGAGACGAGGUGUGGGAAGGUCUGCUACAGGACCUGAUGAAGCAGGACGAGGCGGACCUCUGGUUCUUGCCAUUUUCCGGCGCUGCAUCUAGUUUUUGAGCUCUUGUACUGUACACACAAGCGUGCAGUGGUUACUGACAGGAUCUCAGCUAGACUGACUAGCAUUCUUUUUGUAGCAUUGAACUAAUUAAGCAUAGCUAGUUGGUUCGUUGUAGGUGGAUUAAUUUGGAAGAGGGGUGGCAUUCUUUUGUUGUGUAUUGAUUCGUGGAAAGAGAUUUUUUUCCCUCUCAAUGAAUUGACUUUGGAAACUGUGUUGAUAGACUGAACAUUUUUGUACUCUGGCUGGUGAGAUUCUUUGACGAGUUUACUGCUUAUCCAUUGUACUCAGUAUUUGGUUAAGAAAACAUACUGAAAAAUCGUUUUUUUAUAAAUAAAAACUAAAAAAAAAAUCAUUGACCGAGCCAUAUAUAACUCGUCAGAGGGCAAACGUCCUAGGUCAAAACAAACAUGGUAAAGGAAAGUUGGAGUCGGCCUUGUUUAGUUCCCAAAAAAUUUUGCAAAAUUUUUCAGAUUCUCCGUCACAUCGAAUCUUUAGACGUAUGCAUGGAGUAUUAAACAUAGACGAAAAUAAAAACUAAUUACACAGUUUGGACGGAAUUGACUAGACGAAUCUUUUGAGCCUAGUUACUCCAUGAUUGGACAAUAUUUGUCAAAUACAAACGAAAGUGCUACAGUGUCGAUUUCCCAAAAAAAUUUGGAACUAAACAAGGCCUAAUUCGUUAAAUUUCUUUCUUUCAUCUGGCAUCCUGUACUUACCUGCCUUUUUGUUUAACUUUCUCAUCCUUGCUCUCAGAAAUAGGAGUUUAUGCCAGAUGGCACUCGUUUAAGCAUUCUACUACUCUCUUGCGUUGCGCCCUGAAAGAAAAAUCCUGUGACGGGUUACCAGUGGCGAUAGUGAUAGGGGCUUUUGCUACUGUAUUUUAUCGAAAAAAGGGGAGAAGAAAGGCUGUGGUAAACAAGAAAACGACGGGCCAACCGCGAGAGUGACGAGUGGAAGCUGCGAGUGCGGGCGGGCGGGCGGGCUGGCGGCUUCUCGUCAACUCGUUUCCAAGGACCGAGAGCGAAGAGCUUCUAGUACUCGUCACAGCCAACCGCCUGCCGCUGCCGCUGCCGCUGCCGCUGCGCCACCAGGCCAAAACCACACGCCCACACCAGCGGGCAGCGCGCGGCGGGGAGCAAAUAAAAGAAAGGUCAAGCGAAGCGCCCACGGGGGGAUUUCGCUUUCUGCCGCGGGUUUCCGGAUAAGCGCCAGCAGCGGUAGCCGCGCGCCGCCCGCGGCUGCAGCUGCUGCGUCGUGCUGGGUCCGCUUCGUCAGUCAGACGAAAGCGCUCGUGCUCUGCUCUUGGACCUUGGACGGGACGCCGCGGGCGGGAAGCGGUAUGACUCUCUCACUUACCAGCCCGUUCGCUGGUUAAGUUUUUGACUAGUCUUUCAGCCAUGCGCUACACAAGUCUACCAGGUUAACUUUCUACGCUUCUCAGCGGCACCACGUAUGACUUGUCCACUCGAAUAGUGGGAUGGUGUGUGGAAUGCAUUCCCCCCCAUCUAAUAUCUACCGCACUUUUUAUGCUCGCGGUUAGUUAGUCUCUAAGAAAUCUUAGAUUCAAGGAUUCUGAUCCAAACUUUGAUCAAAUAUUUUCUCAAGUUUGUUCAAACAAAUUUCUUGAGAUUUCAUGCCAAACUUUUAAGUAAAACAUCAGUCAACUAAAAUCACAUAUACUCUUUUUUUCGAUUAAAAAACAGCAUAUACUCGAUUCGUAGUAAAACACAAAGGCAGAUUAUUCUCAGUUUGAUGAUCUACCAUAUCAGAAAGGUAAAUUAUAAAAAUAUAUUUCAUAAAGUAACUAUUUUGAUGCUUACUUGAUAUAGUAAGCAUCGUUAUUCUUUUCUUUGAAUUUAGUCAAAAUUUAAGUAAUUUAACUUAGAACAACUCAAAAUCCAGUAUGAACGAACCUAACAUCGCUCAUCGGUUGGGAGAGCUUGCACUACAUUUCUUCAUUGAAGUUGAGGUUCUUCUGGCACAGGAGGAUGGAAAUGACGCUACACAUGCACCUUAGUGGGAUUGGUCCACUUGCUCCAUCGAUGACCGUAGAGCUUAUCGUCGGCUAUUGGCAUUGCCACGAUGAUCAGCAUUGCCAUCAGCACUUGUGCCACCUCCAUUGCAUGAUUCUCCAUCACAGCCUUCUCCUACUAAUCGGCGAUCACCUCAGAUAGAUUGUCAAGCUAGGUCAUCGUGGUCAGUGUCAGCCACCUCCAUCUCCACCGUGGGGUCGCACUAGACGUUGUCGUCAGCCACCACAGCCGGAGCCCUCGCAACUCUAGCCUUCUCAACUAUGAAUUCUUCAUACGGCAACACUUACCGCACUGAGAGCAGCGCUCGUGGUACCAGGGUGGAGAUAGGGGGUGGACAAGCGCCCAUGCCCCCUAUGAAUGUGAAUUUUCCAAAAAAAAAAACUUAUUCAACAUUGUUGCCCCCAAAUAUUCAAAAAAAUCAACUUUAUGUUUCCGCCCCUGGUACGACACCACACGCUUAUACUUGCUCUCGCACUCCUUGCCACUACGGUUUGGCGUGGACUUGUUUUCCUGUAGCCACGUGUCGCUGGCCUUGCACACCUGGAGGCACAUGCGAAUCGAACAAAACUUAGUGCGAUUAAAUUAGAUGGGUGGAAAUAGAAUGUCGAUUUUAUUUUCUUUUGCUGGAUUUUAAUGUUAUUAUUAGAUUGAGUGUCAAUGAUUACAAAUACACAAAACACAAUUUAGUUAUCUUAUUACAAGGAUACUCUAUUUAGUCAAUAUAUAUGUUUUAAAAAAUCAACUUAUUCAUUGCUAUAAUAUACGUUAAUUAAUUAAUUUAUUUAUGUAUGAUUGAAACAAUUAUUUGUACUUUCAUUUAUUUUAUGCAUGAUUCGAACAAUUAAUUUCUAUAGAUUUUGUGACCGUCCCGGUUAAUAAAAAAGCACCACCUCGUAAAUUUAUUUGUGUACUAGUGAUGGAUCGUUGGGUGGUGGCUCCAUCACUACAUACAUCACGGUACAUCCUCCUAAGUAUUCAAAGGAAGUGUCCAUGAAUUGCAUUAUUGUUUUGUUAUAUAUGCUAUAUUAUUCAAUUUAAAUUAUUAAUAAUAUUGACACUGCCGCACUGUCAAAAAGUAAAAGGGAAUGAAAUUACUAAUAAAGUCAUUUCUGUUUUGUAUAUUGAUGUUGCAAACUUAACUUAAAUUUUCCAUACAGAUCCUGAGGAACAAUACUUCACAAGGAACUCCUCUAUUUUUUGUGGUGAUUUUAAAUGCUAAAAAGCUUAAAAAUGUUCGGAUAGAAUUAAAAAAAGUUUGGCAUUCAUGAUAUGGUGAUUUCUUGUGCAUAUGCGAGGUCAUAAUAUUCCUGGCUCCGGAAAAAAAAACUGGCUCCGUUACUUUGUUUCCCCCAUACGAUUUCAAAUGACGUGUUGGCAAGCAUGCGUAGGAGGUGGAGAAGCAAAUAGGUCAGUGAUUUGAAGCCGCGAGAGCAGUAGGGCAUACAAUUUGAGGGGAGGUUAAUGCGAUGGAGUAUUGUGACUAGUAGUGACAGUGCUCGAAGAAGUAACAGCAAGUGGCAAGGUAGAGGGUGGGUAGUGAGUAGUGACUGGUUGGGACUGGAUUGUGGCAGAUAUUGCUCUCAAGCUCUCUAGGGUAGCACACGAUUUUCUCUCCCCCUAGCUUCAAUUUCGGAGUGUAUUUUGGGCCUAUGGGUCCAUAUUUCUCCCUGGUUCUCCCCCAAUCUAGGAGGGAGGGAAUAUUGCGGAGCAAAGGUGCUGCCCCAUCCCAAAAAUAGUUGGGAUUACCUUUGGUUUGCUCCUGCUCCUUCUCCAUGCGGCAACGCCUAGCUGCCACUUCUUUUCCUUCUCAUCCCAAAUUGUUCCACAUCUGAUUUUUCUUCUUCCCUUACCGUCAAGAAACCACAUGCCAUGAAGGGAGAUAAUGAAAAGGGAUUUCAAUGAGGUAUUGCACAUUGCCUUACCCCUAUAUUUUUUGAUUGAUUUAGUUGAGUUGUUAUAUUUUGUUGUUCAAAUUGACCUUUGUAUUCAGUUUGGGCAAAAAAAAAUGCAUGGAUUAUCUAGCAUUGUGCAUUACGGGUGAUGUGACCUUGUGUUUUGAGAACAAAGUCAAUUCUUCUCCUCCUCAGAAAUUACAAUUGUUUUAAUCAUAGAAAAUUUACUCUAGGAUGACAAUUCUAAGAACAAGGAGGAUUGCAAACAACCAUUAUUACUACAAAUUGAAUGUGCACAUGAUUUUUUUUAAAGAAGAAGCACAUUGUACCACUAUUUUGCACAUUGUCAUUUGAAUUUUAUUCAAUGUGUUCUCACUAGUUUUAUUGUGAUGAUCCACAUAAAUAGUUUAUAAAUGUAUUCUACGAACACAGACUAUAUGAAUAAAAUAUAUGGUUUUACUCUAGUAUUGCCAAAUAGUAGUAAUCUUAGUUCAAUAAUGGGCGCACAACCGUAAAUGGCCAUAAUUCUUGUCGACGGCUAGACAUUUUUUUUAUCUUGGCAAGCCAUAUAAGAGUAAAAUUGUACAUAUAAGAUAUUUAACUCAACUAGACACACCAAUUUUUAUUAAGAAAAUGGAUUUUUACCUAAUAACAAACCCUAAGAAUAACCAUUUAAAGACAUGGCGUAUGACUCAUGUUGUUCGUGUGGAUAUCAUAGUUUCAAUGCAAAUGUGUGAUCGUCAAUCUUGGAGAGUCAAGUAGUCGCAGUUAUCAACUAGUUCUUUAGAUUUACACCUAUGUUCGUGAGAAUGAAACAUGCUACACACCUCAUGGAUGCCUUCUACAUCAGAUCCAACCUACAUGAUAACAACUGAAUAAACCUUCAAAGCCAUUUUUAGAAAACUAAAUCAAUUACUAUUAGAAAAUAUGGUACGUAACGCUCAACUUACCCCAGUGAUAUUCUUGUUGAAGGAAGCAUUAACAACAAAAGAUGAAUCAGGUUCCUCAGCAUCUCGAUCAAACACAUCUCCUUGCACCAUAGAUAGGCACUGUGUAGUCGUCUCUUGAUUUAAUCUAUGGUGGGGAUCGAUGGAUCAUCUUUACAAAAAAGUGUUUGUUGAACAAUUCAAUGAGGUACUUAUGGAAUUCUCCGCGAACAAAAGACAAUAGCCAAUAUGUUUGGUAGAUGUGUAUAUGUUGGUUUGGGGUGCAACUAUAUGUAUAUGUAGGUUUGUGCAGCUUGUUUUGGCAUAUUUUGAAACCAAAGAAUUGAAUUUCUAGUUAUUAGUUGGUUUAUCUCUAGUUGUACAUUUGGAAUGUUAGGAUAUGAUCAGGUUUUCAAAAAGCAAAAAAAAAAUCAUUAGGUGAUAUAUGUGUAUCAACAUUGACACUGGUGUUAGUGUCCUAGUGUGGUCGUGCAAUUACCAAGACAAUUAUUGUGCAAUCACUAGGACAACUUGUGAUAAAAACAAGUGCUCAAUAAAUCCACAAAAAUAUCAUAUGCCAUGAACAUAAUGCAUCAACUUGAGUGGAAUCUAUCUGACAUCACUAUUCGCCUAAACACGGUGUAAACACUACACGGUGGUACACCAUUUUCAUUUAAUCAUCCGUCUAGCCCGUUUAGCCCGAAUAAUGGCUAAAUGGUAGAUGAGUGACUGUUUACCAUUUAGUGUUUAGGAAAACAUUGCCUAAUAUAAAUUAAGAAUCGCAACAUAAGAUCAAACUAUAGUGUAUAUGGGGGAUUAAUUUAGUUCCUAAAUCAAAUAAAGGACUACAUGUAGUCAAAAUUGGAUAUUCUCAUAGCGGAACAAUGGUGAUACAAAUUCAUAGUUAGGAAUUUAGGAUGUUUCUCCGUGAGAGGUUAGGGGAGACUCCUCUGAUGUCUUAUUGAAUGGAGGAGAUUCCACUACCUGGCUGAGUUAACAACUUGAGGCAACCAUGACGAACUACAAGGCCAUGGAAGGGUGCGCUAAGGUGCACCAAAUUGGAGGAGUACUGGGUAGCAGCAAAGACAGGGUCAAUCAGGGCACAGUGGAGCCCACAUGGUAUGAGAUCCAUGAUGAGAACUCCAUUGAAUGUGGGGAUCAUAUGUGACAUUAUGAUGCUACUCCAGUUGCGGGGUUGUGGGUUGGGACGAUAAUUGCGAGGGUGCACACUCAAUUUAGGUUUUCUUGUGACAUCAUUGACAUGAUUACCAAGAUUUUCUAAUAGCCUUUUUCCGAUAGAUAAAAAAUACUACAUUAUUUAUGACAACAAUCUGAUUGUUUUACGGUUGGACGUCAUUGUUCAUGGUUGUGGGAGAGAAUGUCCAUUUAGAUAUACUUACUAUUUUUGAAUGAUGAAAUUUACUCUUAUGUACAAGGAGUAGUUUUUCUGUCAUUUUAAUGUAGUGACCUUUUUGCAUAGAGGAUGUAUUAAAUACAUAUAUUAUAAACCGUUAGGUGAAUGUGGUUUUACAUUUGAGAGGUUUCAUCAAAGGACAGCGGCGCUUUGCUAGCAUAUUGAAUACUAUUGAAUGUGCAAGGCAUGGAAUAGUGGGGGGCUGCUCAGAUUUGUCCUAGUGUGUGUGGAGGGUGCUCAGAUUUGUCCUUCCUUAUUACUUUGCUCAUGAAUUGUAGAAUUUUCAAAAAGUGGCAUACUAAAGCAAUCCCAAUAUGUAUCAUUUCUAUUUUAAUGAAAAAUGCAUGUUCCUAAUAACUUUAGUAGAUGAAAUUGCAACUAAUUUGAUCAACCUUAUUUUUCUUGUUCUUAGGGUUAAUUCAAUGGACUAUUUUGACAAAGUUACUACACUUUCUUAAGAAAAAAAUAUACAAUUACAUAUAUGGUAAAUUUGAAGAGGAGUUUACUCACAAAAAUGAUUCAAAAAUGUUUUUCUUUAUAAGGAAACCCAUUCUUUUUUUACUAUUGGGGAAACAUUGUGAGACAACAUAUUAUACAAGUAAUUUUCUUGAACCAUGAGUCGGAAUUGUGAAAACACUUCCUUUUAUGUAACAUGGUGAUUACUUUUUCAGGUACCCUAUGUCAAGUAUAUCCAUGAUAAAUUUCUGAACUGACCACUAAGUGAGCUCCUGCAUCCUACAAAAUGGAUGAAGUGAAUGUGGAAAAUGUGCCACAGCUAUAUGUUCCUUCUGAAUCUAUCAAUUUAGUGGAAAGUUUGAUUGAUUCAGAACCUCCUGUAUCUUGCAGAAUGAAUGAAGUAAAUGUGGAAAAUGUACCACAGAUAUCUGUUCUUUCUGAAUCAAUUGAUUUAGUGGCAAGUUUGAUUGAUUCAGAACCUCCUGCUUCCUUUGAUUACACUAAAAGUGCCCCGGCUAUUCAUAGUAGACAUCUAAGUGAGGAUUUAAGUGCCCUUUCAAUUAAUGAUUUGCGUUUGAACAAUGGAGAGCAAAAUUGCAAUAACCAGAUUGAACGGAAGGGCAUAAGUAGUCAUUCUAGACAUUUUAGUGAAGAUUUAAGUCACCUUGCAGUUAAUGAUUUAUAUGCAAACAAAGGAGAGGAGAAUGUCCAUUACUUGGGUGAACGAAAGGUAGAAAGUCGCCCUAACUCUGCUGAAAGAAACAUUUAUAAGGCCGCAGAGAUUGCUGAGCGGUUCAUUCAAUCUAUAGAUAAUAGGGUGCUUGUUGACACUGGAGCACCAAUAGAAUCUGUUAAAGAGGCUGUAAGCAAAUUUGGAGGCAUUCUUGACUGGAAAGAGGUAAUAUCUAUUCUCCUAAUAUGCACUUUGUAUGUCUCAAUGCCAUUGUUUUUUUCUUUUCCGUGUUAACUUAUGAAAUUAGCAUGUCUCUCCAUUCCAUUUGUUUUGUGUAGAGACGUAAGAAUGUCCAAAAUGAGCUUGACAAGGCACUGGAAGAUGCUCCUAAGUACAAAAGAAGAGCAGAAGUUGCAGAAGUUGAGAAAAAUAAAGUUGUCAUGGAAUUGUGUACCACUAGGAGAACCAUAGAAGGGUUGAAGCUAAAUUUGGAGAAGACGCAAACUGAGGCAAUACAAGCACAGCAAGACUCAGAGUUGGCUGAUAUACGAUUCAAAGAGAUUCAACAGGGAAUUGCCUGUAGAGAGAGUGCUGCAGCAAGAGCAGAGAUUGAGCUUGCAAGAUAUCGUUAUGCUAGUGCAUUAACAGAACUACAUUUAGUGAAGGAUGAGAUACAACAACUUCAGAAGGAGUACACAUCCUUAAACACUAAAAGAGACAACGCUGAAACAAAAGCAUGUGAAUCCAGUGUUGCAUCUCAAAAGAUUGAGAAAACUGUGGAUGACCUUACCCUCGAAAUUAUCAGAUUGAAAGAGUUGCUCACCUCUUCACAAGCUACUCAUAUUAUAGCAGAGGAACAAAAAUUGAAUGUUACUUUGGCAUAUCAACAAGAAAAGGAGAAUUGGCAAAAUGAACUGAGGCAGGUUGAUGAGGAGGUUCAGAGUAUGCGUGAUGCGGCUUCAGUCAACAAAGAUCUUGAGUCUAAACUAAAAGUUGCCUCUACAUUGCUAGUGAAGUUGCAAGAUGAGUUUUCUAGUUAUUUGAAAGGGGAAUGUUCCCAAGAGGUUAGUGUAGAUGGAGAUGUAGAGAUACCUAUGGUUAUUACCAAAAUGAAGCUAGCAAAUGCUAGGAAGGAGCUUGAGGACAUGAAGGCAGACAUUAAAAAGGCCAAAGAUGAAGCCAGAAUACUUUGGAAUGCUGCUGCUACAUUACGAGCUGAAAUAGAGAGGGAGGAGGCAGAUCUGUUAGCAUUGAAACACAAAGAGCACCUAGCUUCGCUUUCUGUGUCAUCAUUCCAGCAAGAGCAAAGCAACAUGACAUAUGAGCUCAACAUCGUCCAUGAAAGAACAAAAGCAUCUAAGAUGCCUACAGAGCUACAACAAGCAACUGAAGAAGUGGAACAAGCACAGGCUAAGGCACAGAUGGCCCGUUAUGAGGCGGCAAAAGCUAGGGAAGAGGCGGAUCAAGUCAAGGCACAAUUUAAUGUCAUCAAAUUGAGGCUAGAAGCUGCAUUACAGGAGAUACUUGCAAUGAAUGCAUCUAAAGAAAUUGCGACCGCCUCAGCAAAUGCUUUGCAAGAAUACAAAGAUGAAGCACAAAUAGAGCCCCAAGAUGAACGGAUAAGCAACAACUAUAUGACGUUAUCACUUGAAGAGUACGAUGCCUUAAGCAAGAAAGCCCAAGAUGCUGAAGGUCUCGCCAAGAAGCGAGUCAUCAAGGCUGUUGAGAAAAUCAAAGAAGCCAAGGAUGCAGAGGUGAGGAGCUUGAAUCAGUUGGAGCAGUCGACCAAGAAGAUCUAUGAGAGGAAGUUGGAGUUGAGGGCUGCGCAGGAGAAAGCCAAUGCAGCGCAAUAUGGCAAGCUCACCAUGGAGAACGAGCUGAGGAAGCGGAGGGCCAAGCAUGAGCAACAAAGGAAAGUAGGAGAGUCAAGCCAUGCCAUUUCUGACAUCCCCAAUUUGAAGAGCACUUCAUUAUCUUUUGAUGCAGCAUCGUCAACCUCCAAUCCUCACAUGGUUGGAACAUUGUCUAGAGCGGACACUAUAGGAGCAACUAGGGUGAAAGAGCCAAAGACACGAAAGUCACUCUUUCCACGGUCCUUAGUGGCCAUGUUCGCGUCUAGGAAGAAGACACAUUGAAAGUUAAAUUCCUUUUCAAUGAUAAUGAUGUGCUAAAUUCUUUGGUAUGACUUAUUUGUAAAUGUACUCUUGUAGAAAAUAGGGUACAAUUCAAAGAAGUGUUUCUGAAAUUUACUCUGGUUUAUGUUGUAGAUUAUAUCAAACACCAUUAUUGAGUUGCCCCUCUCUGACCACCGUGCUAAUAUUGUUAGGAGCAUGCAGCAUGCCUUAUUGACUGCUGUAAUCUAGUUAGCUUGGGCAAUCUCACUUUCCUUUUGUGACAUGACAAAAUUGUUGUUCGUUUGUUGAAAGAAUCAAUUCAAGAAAUUGCAUAAGCUUAUGAGGAACACAAAAUUUUUAGACCAUGGAGUUGCAUAUACACAUCUUCCUCCCAAGUCCAGCUCAAAAUAAAAAACCUUCCUCUGAAGCCCCAAGCAAAAAAACAAACAAACAAACACAAAAAACAACAAGAAAAUUAAAAAAAUGCUGCAUGAAUGUAGGUUCUCUUAUUAUAAAUACAUUUAUGAAAAGAAGAUAAAUAAUUCUGAAAUUUCUUUCGAAUCUGACUUCUGGGGAAAAAUGAUAUGUUACAUACACGAUCGGAUCUGAUCAAACUUCGUCAAAAUCAAUCAAACAAUUUGAGGCCACCAUCCACGUCCUCGCAACGCCUGAGACACCGGAGAACGGCGCCGAGGUCGCCGUUUGUCUUGGCCCUGCAGUCAUAAGUCGGCGGCGCGUGGAAGCACGGCUCCAUGGACAUUGCCCGGACACAGGGCGGGUGUGCCACCGUCUGGUUCGUCGGCGGCAGUAGCAGCCACGGGCUCACCCCGGCGAGGCCGUGGCCGACGUAGCCCACCGUUGACCACCCGCUCACCACGGACACGUCGCAGUAGCUCAGCAGGAACAUCUCCACCAGCACCUUGUGGUUCUGCGGCUGGUUUCCGGCUCCCGGUGGCUGCAGCACGCUGACCGGCUCGCCGGUAACCGUGGCGUGCUCGUAGUACAUGGACUUGAGCCUCUCGGCGUACUCCUGCUGCGCCGAGAUGACGAGCACGGCCUUCGACGACGUCGCAGCCGCCUCCUUCUUCUCACUCGACGCCACUUUGGGGUCUACCUCGGGCAGGAUCUUCUCCUGGCUCGUGCAAGCCGCGAUCUGGUUGAAGUACGCCUCCGUCGACACGGGGUUCCCGGCGAGGGUCGUGAUCUGAAUCCCAAUCUUCUCAUCGAACUUGGCCAUGUACGACGUGUAGUACCCCUGGAUCAUCUUCCACACCUUGUUGGACGGGUGGAACAGGUACCUUCCGAUGUGGUGGAACACCGUGUCCGUGGCCGGGAACAUCCACCGGAGCUCGUCCUCAAACUGCGGCACGAGGAACAGCCCCGGCGCGAAGUAGAGGUCGGAGCGCAGCAGCAGCCAGUUCACCUUCCCCAGCACGGUCUGGUCGUCGUCGCAGAAGAAGCGCUGGUCGGGCAGCUGGUAGUCGUGCGCCAGGUGGAGGUACGCGUACGACGGCAGCGACUCGGACCGCACGCCGACGGGGUCCUCGUCGCUGAUCUUCUUGGCCCCGAGCAGGGUCCCGUAGCUAUGCUCGCUGCCGCGGCGGAGCUGCGUGAGGUUGUGCACGGGGAAGCCCGGGGGCAGCUCCCACGACGACGCGCCAGGGAAGGGCUCGCAGAAGAGGCCCGCCAUGUCCUUGGCCAUGUGGACGAGGAAGACGCGGCGGGUGAGCAGCGCGUAGAGGAAGGCGGACGCCAUGGAGACCAUGCGGUCGCCGAGGUGGUUGCCGGGCGUCCACACGAGGUAGCUGCACUCGGCGAGGCCCAUGCUGGUGUGGGCGGAGGCGAGCUGCCGCACGGACUUGUCGUACAGGGGCGUGCCGGGCCCGCACCUGCGGUGGAGCGCCUCGUACUUGCGCAGCCGCGACACGAGGUACGGCGACGGCGAGUGCGGCGACGCCUUGCGGUACAGCGAGGAGAGGUACCGGCUCAGGCAGGUGCUCUCGCUGACGUCCGGCGAGAGCAGGCCGCCGAGGAGGAUGUCGCGGCUCUCCAGAGGCGAAUCCGAGGGCUCCGACGACGGCUUCGGCUCGUCAUCUGCAUGGAUCGGGCGGGUCGAUCGGGUAAGCGAACACGCUUUGCUGUCUGCAUUUGCGAAUGCUGCGUGCGACCGCGCGAUGCAGACAAGCACGUACCGUAGUGCACGGCUACUCUGAUGCCGAUCUGCUGCCACAGGUCGAACAGGGUUGGCCGCCCGGGUGACAGCGCGAGGAAGAGCGGCAGCGUCGUGAAGCAUAGCGCGACGAGCAGGCCGACGGGCCACGCCGCGCUCCUCACCGCCGGCUGCGGCAGCGGCCUCAGCUUCCUGUCCAUUCCGAUCCUCCGUCGAUCGCCCGCCGCCUUGUCUGCGCCCGCAAAGAGAAGCCAACCUUGGCGCUGGCACGACGGGAGCAGAGGACUCUGAUGUCAGGUCUACGCUUCAACCAGAUGAACAGUCCUUGGGAUCCGGAGCGAGCGCACUUUUUCGCCGCUCGAAGGAACGGCGAGUCGGCGGCAUCGUGUAGAAGAUGCAAACUUCCAUUGUUUAUGCAAAAUGCAAGUAUGCCUCGAUUGUUUUCUCCGAGCUGCUGCUUGGAAUGACUCCAAUGGUCGCGCUGAAGUAGCGUGAGCUCUGAAGUCUGAACCCUCAUCGGACAUGCGUGCGUAAAGAUCAGAAAAUGCAGGCCAGCUGUUUUCCAACAGGCUGCCGAGAAAUUUAUUCGGCCCAUUUCCCUGUGCCUUGGCCAUCUGUUGACUCAGGCCCGGAUUAGAGCAACUCCAACAGAAGAGCUAUCCAUGUUAUGUAUUCUAUAUUUGGCUAUUUUGGAAGAGAAAAGAGAGUCCAACAGCUAUUGUAUUUGGUUUGCUAAAAUAGCAAGUCAUCUAUCCCGGAGUUCUCGCAUGGUAAAUAUAGCUUGCAUGUCCCGCUAGCCAUAUGAUUUGCCAUAUAGAAAGACUGUUGGAGAUUUUUGUUUUUUUACAUGAUUUUCUAUUUUAGAGGUUGGCAAAAUCUUGAAUUUAGCCGUCCAUUUUUAUCAACUCUCUUGGAGUUGCUCUUAGAGCAUCUCCAACAACUUGGUAUUUCAACAUGCUAUCCUACCAAAUUUGCUAAAAGCAUAAAAAUCCUCCUCCAACAACUCCUUAUCUCAACUUGCUAAAUUUCCCAAGUUGCUAUCCAGAGGUUUCUACUGCCGAGAUUUGUCAAGUUGCUAUCCCGAGCGCAACUUGUUGGAGACACAUAUUCUUUUACCAAGUGAGCGGGUCCUAUCUGUCAUCCUCUAUUUUUACCAAGUGAGAAUAGCAACUUAUUGGAGACACAUCCUUUUUUCUUUUGCUAAACAAAUUAGCAACUUGCUAUAACUCAAGAUUUGACAAGUGAAUUUUACCAAGUUGUUGGAGAUGCUCUUAGGUCUACAAAGUUUUUAGAUCAUAAAAAUAUAUAAAGAUCAUAAAAAUAUAUCUACAAACUUCAAAAAUAUAGAUUUAGCUCUCAAAAAUGAGAAAAAUAUCAAAAAAAAAGAAACAUCCCAAAACAUUCUAAUCGAUGGCUAAAUGUGUUUUAUAAACUUUCGCAGCAAAAACAUGAGAUGUACCCAUGCUAUGCAUUCAUGCUAGUUAUGUAUUAUGUUUUUGUUCUAAAAAAAUUUCAAAACGUGUUUAGAUAUCAAUUAGAAUUUUUUUUGGUAAUUUUAAUUUUUCUUCUCUAGAUAUUUUUGCAAUCUCCUAGAACUAAAUAUAUUUUUUAGAGUUUCUAAAGAUAUUUUCACGAGCUCUAUUUUACUUGGAUAUUUUUUUCCUAAUCUACAUCUAUGAUUUUUAUCAGAAUUUUUAGAAUUUUACAUAUGUUUUUCUAUGCAUUAAAAUCUUAUCCAGUUUUUAACUAAAAAGGACAAAACAACCUUUAGAACCCAUUCAAACCAGAUAGUGAGGUAAUUUGAACUAUUUUAAGAAGAGUCUGUAAUGGGAUAAAAUGUCUUGUUUUGAAGUUUGAGCAGAAAAUUCGCUGGAUGAAAAAGGUACUCUUUUCCAUGAAGGUCCGAGAAAAUCUCCAGGCCUGGAUGGCGUUAGAGGGCCUACCUCUGACGUAGGCAGCUGGCAGCCUCAUGCCAAUCUCGCCGCGCCGGCGUGUUCCAUUUUGAGGCGGUACCUCGCAAUCUCCACCCGAUCCAUCGUCAUUGGCGCCUUGGCGGAUUGGCCUGUCCUUUUAUUUUUGUGAGCAGAGCAAAUAGAAACAAAACCUAGCUAACCCAUUUUCAGGUUGAUGUUGAACCAACCACGUCGACGCCUGAGUCGCUGAAGCGGAUAGGAUCGCAUGCAUGUUACAUCAAGGGACCGCAUACACAGUCACGUUGGAGUCGUUGGUUGAUACAAACGCCGUGUACAGGCUCAACAGCGAGCCCAGCCGUCGAUCAUGUAAUACGCGAAAAGGUCUAAUUGGCGCGGUGUGGGACGGGGCUGCGGCGACGGCGGCCAACGUGUCGCUCGCUCGCUUCGGAUGAUUAGUUGGGUACGUAGUUGAUCCGAGCACGUCCUGCACCGGGGGUGAUUCGACUGGACAGGUCUGGCGCAAGCAAGGAACCAACGCCCCACCACGUCCGCGGAGAAGGCGAGACGCAACGAAUCAUGGCAUCCGCCAGGCAUGAUCGAGCUCGACCUCGAGCGGGAGCGCCCGCUGCAUCCAUGACCCCGGCGCCUCUCCUGCCCACGCCAAAUGCUUUCCAUCCAUCCAAGCAAACCCAAAUGACAUCUCAUAUAAACUAUACUACCUCCGUCAAAUAUUUUAUUAUUAUAUAGGAGCAGUUAGUUCCGUUCUUCUUGUGCACCGCAACCCACCACUGUAGACUGUCAAAAUUAUUAAUUGUCUGUCUCCUAACGAAUCGCAGCAACGAGACUUGGAACGGGUCCGGCGUAUCAGAUGAACAUGUAGGGUGCACCAGAGUUUCAAAAUAUUCAAUUCCUGAACAAGCUGUGCCGCCCGGGCAAAACAAAACAAAAGUCGCGAGCCGGCGGCAACCGCAGCUGUCCUUCCGAGUCUUCGCUUCCAUCUCGUCGUCGUCGUCGUUGCACCACCCUCCAAUUCCGCUCGGUCCAAAUCCGCGUCCUUGUCGCGCAUUGCAUUAUUGGAGGAUCGAUCCAACUGGCGCCACCGCAGUAAUGAUCCCCUUCUCCCUCCGCCUCCUCCUCGCCGGCGCCCUCGUCCUGCUCGUCAUCGGCGGCGUCGCCGAUGCCCUGUCCGGUGAACCUCCCAUCACUGCCGCCAUUAUUAUUCUCCCGUUUCCUCCUACACACGUACUCGAUGAGCUGUUCGGCGUCGUCUUAUUAUUCCCUGACCCUGAGUUGGCUCGCUCACCUCGCGCGCAGGGUACCAGAUAAGCUGCGGCGCGACGUCGGCCAAGGUCGCCGGGAACGUGACAUGGGUCCCCGACGGGGCGUUCAUCAACCACGUCGGCAAGGCCGCGGAGCUCACCGGCUCCCCGGGCGUGAUGCCGAUGCUCUCCUCCCUCCGGUACUUCCCCACGGCCGACGCGUCGUCGUCGUCGUCCGCCGCCACGACGACGAAGUACUGCUACGUGGUCCCGGCGGCGAUGCACGCCAGGUACCUGGUCCGCACGACGUACUACUACGGCGGGUUCGACGGCGGCGAGUCCCCACCGGUGUUCGACCAGAUCAUCGACGGCACGCGGUGGAGCGCGGUGGACACGGCGGGGAGCUACGCCCGGGGCCUCGCCACGUACUACGAGGCCGUGGUGGAGGCGACGGGGAAAGAGCUCAGCGUCUGCCUCGCCAGGAACGCCGCGACCACCGCGCCCGGACGAAGCCCCUUCAUCAACGCCCUCGAGGUGGUGCCGCUGGAAGGGUCCGUGUACAGCGCCGUCAACUUCACCGCCUACGCGCUCAGCACCAUCGCGCGCCACAGCUUCGGCUACAACGGCUCCAUCAUUGGGUAAGCAAAAAAAAAAGAACCGGCCGGCGGCCGGCGGCCGGCGAGCACCAUUAAUUCAUGGAUGUCUCGGCGAGAACGAAGAUAGAUACGUGUACAGCCUACUAACUGACCAUGUCUCGUGCGAAAUGUGCGACGAUCUAGCUAUCCAGGUGACCGGUUCAACCGAUACUGGGAGCCGUACAGCGACGGGAGCAUCCCGGUGGUGGAGAGCCAGGCGAGCGUGGCGACGGAGGCGUUCUGGAACAAGCCUCCGGAGGCUGUGUUCCGGCGAGGCCUGACGGCGAGCCGAGACAAGAGCCUGGACCUCCAGUGGCCGCCGGCGCCGCUCCCGGCCGCGACCUACUACCUGGCGCUCUACUUCCAGGACAACCGGGGGCCGAGCGCGCUCAGCUGGAGGGUAUUCGACGUCGCGGUCAAUGGCCAGCCGUUCUUCACCGGCCUCAACGUCUCCACGGCAGGGUCCAUGGUGUACGGCGCCCAGUGGCCGCUGUCCGGGCAGACGAGGAUCACGCUGACGCCGGCGACGGGGUCCCCCGUCGGCCCGUUGAUCAACGCGGCGGAGCUCAUGAUGGUCGUUCCGCUCGGCGGGAGGACGCAUCCCAGAGACGGUAACCUCCUGUCCUGAUCGGUGCACUUCUCGGUGCCAUCCAUGGCUGAUAGAUACCCGGACACUGUUCGCUCAAACCACCCAUCUCCUUGCUGCUGCAGUAAUCGGCUUGCAGGAGCUGGCCAGAGGAUUCACGAACCCGCCGCCGGACUGGAGAGGUGAUCCUUGCUUGCCCAAGGGGAACUCGUGGACUGGUGUCACCUGCAACCAAGAUCCACUCGCAAGAGUAACAGGGCUGUAAGUUUGCAGCACCAGUCAUAUGACAAUGGAUUGUUCUCUUGUAUAUACUUGUGAUGAACAAUGAAUAAUGGUCAGUCUGGUCAUUUGCAGCAACCUCACAAAUUUCAGAGUUGGAGGAUCAAUAUCUGACAACAUUGCCAACCUGACUGCAAUCUCGAGCAUGUAAGCUUCUGGAACAAAUUGGUGUAAAUUUGCAUGCUUAAGUGGGAAAAAAAUGGAUUGCUAAAAUUGAAGCGAUAACUGUUGCAGUUGGCUUGUCGGGAACAAUCUGACCGGACCGAUUCCAGAUAUGAGCCUCCUGCAUCAUCUAGUGUCUUUGUAAGUAUAAUAAUAACGAUCGGUAAUAAAUAUAAUCACCAACGGCUAAAUAUCCUUUCUGGAUAAUAUGACGUUGAAGAUCUUGGUUGCUUCUUUCACCUAAUCCUGUUGCAUUCCUGAUUGGAAAUUUGAAGGCACCUGGAGGACAAUGCACUGACAGGCUCGCUCCCUGAACCGCUCGGAAACCUUACAAGACUUGAAGAACUGUAAGUGCCUCUAAUAUUUAUUAAUCCACUCCACUCAAUGAUGAUCCUGGCGAUUUUAACCUACUGAUCACUCGAGUUAAUUCCUAUUUCGCAGGUUUGUGCAGAACAAUAACCUACAAGGAACAAUCCCAAGCAGCAUCAGUAACAGAGUGAUGCUGGACACAGGGUUUAGGUUCCAGUAAGUGACUACAUUUAGCGAUUGUGGUUUCGUAGCAUCCUGCAGUGACUGACGAAUUACUUGCUGUACGCUGACAGGUACACACCUGGGAACAACCUUAGCUAACAAGGGCAUUCCAUUACAGAAGGCAAAAUCGUCUGACUGGUGGUCUUUGUAUCAUGGUGUUGCUUUUCUUGCCCAAUUUUGGGUGCUUCGGACCCUUUUCCUAUUCGUUUUGGAGUCAUGAUAUUUUUUUGUACAAUUAAAAUGUAACCUUAUUUUUUUUUCUGUAAAGAUGCAUUUUGUUAUAAAAACGAAGACUAUAUUUUGUUCAAUGAGAAAAACAAGAAGGCUAAUUACUUACACAAAUUCAUAAGAGCAAUGCAUGUACAACCCAUCCGAACAACUUCUUUGUCACCAGAAUGUCAAUCGUUGAGUGGUCGCUCACUUAUUUAUGAAUCAAAAGCUGAAACCAUUUGGUUAUAUAUAUAUAUAUAGGUGUAGAAUACUAUUCUACACCAAACUACUAUAAUGAACAGAUUUCAGUAUUCGCAUUUCAGUAUUGUUCAGUAUUUUGUGGUCCUAAGUGUAGUGUUGGAUGAUACUGAACGAUGUUCAGUACCGCUCAGUAUUUUUCUGCUCAAUAUUAUUCUACACCUAGAAUAGUAUUCUAUACCCUAGGUGUAGAAUAUUAUUCUACACCGCAACGUUCAGUAUCAUCCAGUUGUAUAUAUAUAUAUAUAUAUAUAUAUAUAUAUAUAUAUAUAUAUACACACACACAAAAGCGUGAAGCAUUUCUCAUUAAGAAAUGCUUCUGUGUCAGGCCAUACAAUGCAGCCCAUGAAGGUCAGCCCAGCCCGUACUGUUGCAAGAUAUCGAGUCAAGAUAUCUCCCUCGUGUCUUACUCUUGUCGGCUCAAUUAUCUCCUCCGCCUUCCUCGCGCUCAUCGCCCCACUUCGCCGUCGCUGCAACUCCCACUCCCGCCUCUUCGCUGGCGAUGACCGCCGCCUCCCACACCCAAACCUCCCCGGCGUCUGCAUGACGACUCCCCCGAACCCCUCCCCGCUCCUCUCCUCUCGCCCCAACCCCUCCCUCCCUCUCCACCGCCGCCCCCGGUUCCCCCACUCUCCGGCCGCCGCCAACACCACCGGCGCCGCCUCGGCGCCGGACUGGUUCCGCCCUCGCCGUCCUCCGGACGCGGACCCGUCCACCUCUCCCGGAGGCCGCGUCGCCGCGCGCGAUCCUGGCGUUCGCGUCAAGGCCAAGGAGGGCGCCGAGGAGGAGAAAGGUAAGAAGGGUAAGAGGAGGAGAUGGUGGGAGCGAUGGUCGGGGGACAAGGAGAGCUACCUGGUGGAUGAUGUGGAGCCGCUCCCCAUCCCCUUGACCGUGCCAGGGACCGAGCCCAUGUCGCGGGAGGAGCUGAACCGCCGGCUUAGCUGCGACGUCAAGAUCGAGGUGAGUGCGGCGGGCCGAGGUGAAAACUUCAAUUUCUGUGUUCUUUUUGGCGUCUUGGGUUUUGGGCGAGGUGAUGAGUUUGGGAUGUGUGAAUUUGGGCUGUAGGAUUGCAAGACGGUUUCGUACGAGUGGACGGGCAAGUGCCGGAGCUGCCAGGGGACGGGGCUGGUCAGCUAUUUCAGGAAAAAGGGCAAGGAGACCAUCUGCAAGUGUGUGCCAUGCGCCGGCAUUGGUAAGAUGAGAUUCCUCGAACUUGAUUUCCUUUACAUGGUACAAUAUUGAUGUUUUCUAAGAGUAAACAUUUAGAGAGAACAAGGACAGAGGUACACAGAACAUCUUACUGGUAGACCUACAAUAAAUCAAGACUUGAGCUUUGUGAAGAUGUGAUGUCAUUGUGAUGAACUACUAGUUGGACAGAUAAUAUACUUUGUCAUGCAGUAGAGCUGUUACUGGUGGAGGUGCAAUUCUAUUAUAGAUCACAUCAUAAUUAUAAAUUACAACACUAGGGUAGUCAGAACUUUGAACCCCAUGACUAAGUUAUUUGCUGCACCUUGAGUUCCUAACCUUGGGCAUUAGGCAUUGCUAUUUUGAGAAGAACCUUAGAUUGUCAUAAAUUGGACUGUAUGUUUAGGAAUAAACAACCUAUUGCCAGUGGCUCUAAUUCCUAAGAGCUCCAGCAUUCACUAUUUUGUCCAUACGGCGUGUUCAUUUCUGUUUGCAUUUGUGUACUGACUACUAAUUGAUUAUAAUACACCAUAGGUGUUUGUAUUGGAAAUCUGUUCAGCAGUAGGUCUGACGUCUGAGUAUUGACUGAAUUGUCUUGUGAAAUGGCGCUUAUUCACAGUCACAGAAAGUAUAACACAAGUUUCUUUGCAAAGUUUGAGAUCCUUAUAAUCUUUUACUAGUGGAGUUGCGUUGGUGUAUCAUCUCCCUGGUUUGUCUGAAAUGAUAGUUAAUGGCUAGUGUCCUACAGAAAUAUAGUUCUGGGAUAUUCAUAACAAUGGUUCUCUGUGUUGUUCUAACAGACUGUCUUUGGUUUAUACAAGUAUACCAUGGAUGCUAAUCACACAAGAAACUAGAACCGACAUGGUUGCAAGUUUUUAGUUGGAGGCAUGAUGACAGAUUAUCAAUGCCAUAGUAAGAAAUUGCUGAAUAAAUUUUAGAUUUCUUGGUGCUCGGAUUGAAUAUGAGAUUUCUAGUUUUAUGCAAUGAACAGUGAUACAGGAUAGUCCCUCAGCUCUUAUCCUUGUGGCAGCACAUAUAUGAAUGGUAAAGUAUAUGCUAUCUGAAAAUAGUAAAUGGGUAGCAGUUCUUUUUUAAAUAGGAUUGUAUUAUAACAUUAAUAUAUAGAGCACAUUAGCACCUUCCAUGAAGUAUGAAGGUGUAGACUACAUCCUCAACAAGCACGACCUUACACCAAGCACAAAGACAUGAACACCUGAACAGGAAGAUCCUUUAGGAUGUGAAGUGUAGAAGGGUGUGGUCGAGUUGACCACACCACCUCACCAAUAUUUGUGUCAUAGGGACUAAAACUCCGCUGGCAUUGGGGUGACAGGGCCUGGAAGAUUUUUUAUGUGAUUGCUGGUGACAGGCGUGCCGGAUUGAUGAAUGACGGCAUGGAAAAUGCAGUGAAGACCUUGAUGUUGGCAACUGUUCUGAGGCACAGAAAGUUGAGAGGAGUGCACCAGACGUCAUGUUACUAGCUGGCAAGUACAUCUGGCAGGCUGCCUGGCAGAGAGGAAGAGAGGGGGGGGGGGGAGAGAGAGAGAGAGACAAAGGAUGAAAACCUCUAGGGGUAGGGGAAGGAGAGAGAGAGGACGGGGGGAGAGCAGGGAAUUUCUGGAGAUGUGUUCAGUGGUGACCGGCAACAGCUUUUAGGGUGUCUGAUGAGAUACUAAUGAUAGUGCAUAAACUACAGAGUACAGACAACUCUUUAUUAUGUAGCUCUAGGCGUUUCACUGACAGGCAAUGGUAGAACUCGGGCAACUGUUACCCUACAUAGAUAUAUUGCUCAACUAUUUGGUUUAGUUAUGUUGUCCUAUAUGUUUCACUGUUUCAAAUGUUCCAAUUUAAUUAUUAUACUAGUCAGAAAAGGUUUUAUCCUAUGCGACAAGUGUUUAUGUGGAACCUUGGAAAGUUACACAUAGCCACUAAAUUUUAGAGCAAUGGAUGACAUUGAUCAAUUAGGUGUCUUAUUCACAGCAAACUUUUGACUGUAUUUUCCCUCAGGGUUUGCCUUGUAUCUUGAAUCCUACCCAAGCUCCUAUCAUCACCAUGAAUUCAUGCUAAUGAUACGUGUAGAUAUGCUUGUAUAAUUAAUUGCCUCCAUUGACUCUCUGCAUUCUUGCUUGACUACGAUCACUGAACACAAGCAUGGUCCAUGUAGCUGGUGGCUGCAGCCACAUUUUCAUUGGAACUGGACCCUAGUAGACCUUAAGUUCAUGUCCUAUGUCAUUUUCUAGACUAGUCACCACACAAUUCACAGUUUUAAACCUUGCCUGAAAUAAACUACUAGAUUCAAACAUCAACAAUUGAUCCAUUUGCUUGUUUCAGUAGGGAUUUCCACUCAUAGGACGGGUUCAGUGGUUUUCUUUUUAACUUCUAAUACAGAACAUGUACCAUGGUAGAUACUGCAUAUAACCUCGCAGGGGAUUGAGAAAUAAGGGAAUGAUAUGUAGUACUGAAACAAUGUACUGCCACUUUACCUGAGAUAAAACCCAGAUGAAUACCUUUCGUGAUAGAUGAAACCCCUGGUGAGAUUGGUAUUAGUUUGUGAGUGUAGUUGUCACUGCCUCAAUGGUCGACAUAUAACUGUAAUUCAUUUGUUUAGCAAUAGUUUUACACUAGAAUGUUCUGCUGAUGCUUCCUCAUUUUGUUUGUUUUUGUGCCAUGGAAAAGUAAAGUUAGAAUUAGACUUUACUGUAGAGCUUGAGGGCAUAUGUCAUGCCAAAGUGUUGGGCUUUCUUUCUAACAGCUUACUGCUCUAUUAUUCUCUUCUACGAGAUUAUAGGCUGACUUCUUCCCAUACCUGUGGAAUGGGAACAUUACCUGUUUUGCAGGUUAUGUGAGGAAAAUCACAUAUCGUGAGGACAUUCAAAAUAUUGACGAGCUAGACAAUGGCAAACUACCAUAGUUUGAAAGGUCUGAAGUCAUUCGGCUGCUGUAAUUUUCUAACUGCUGCCGUAUAGCUUGUGCUCGCAACCUACAAAUUGACCAAUGAUUCUUUCCACCGCACAUUCUACUGUUCAGCCACGAUACAUGAAGGGGUUGUUCUUUAAGCAUUGUAAACUUUGUGUUAAAAAAAAGCAUUGUAAACUUAGCAAUUUGGCCUAGUAAUUGUGCCCCUUUUACCUUUGUUGUUUGCUGACAGAUAUGAUAACGAUCGGUACAGAAAAGAAAAUAAUAAUUUUCAAUGGGAUUCUUUUCUUGGCAUAUGAAACCAUUUUGGUUCGCACGUUGGCAUGGUCCAUCUGUUGCCCUCCUCUUUCUGGUUUGAGAUUGCCUACACUGCAAGUUCUGGAGGAAUCCCAAAUUCAGAAACUUUCUGCAGCUCUCGGGCAUAUGUAUUGCUAGCCGCAGCUCGGCGACGUCCGGCGGGCCUUCUCCGUGUUCGACAGGAACGAGGACGGCAGGAUCAGCGCGGAGGAGGUCAUGACGGAUUGACGGUCCUGCGCAAGCUCGGGCAGAGCUGCAUCCUGGAUAAGUGCCGGAAGAUGGUGAGGGGGAUCGACAGGGAUGGCGAUGGCUUCGUCAACAUGGACGAUUUUAUGGCCAUGAUGACGCGCCCGCGCAGGAAGCCGUGAGCACCCGGCCCAGCCAGCUUCCGUGCACGUCCUGAUGUAAAAUAUGCCGUGCAAAUCAUAUAUCCUGAAUAAGAUGAUCAGGUUUCAAACCAGCGCUCAUUAUUUAGCUUGAUCUUCUCUUAUUCUGUUUAUCUUUCUGCAGCUUGCUGAUGACACGCUAUUAGGAAUUUAGAUAGGACUGGUGAAAGAAAUAUUUGCUGUUAACAAAUGGACCGUCGUCUGUCACUGCUCUUUGCAAUUGCUAGUUUUCUCUACACAGUAGAAUUCCCGCUGCAACAUGUUACGAACACAGAUAACAGCAGGGAUCGGAGUUUAGGCGGGGGAAUGCAUAGCACGACGGGUUGGGAUCAGAGAAGUGCUAGCAUGAGAAGGCAAGAGUUCGUUACAAUAUUCAUCAUAGAUGAUUCUCUCUUCUCUUCCUAUACAUAAGAGUAGUCUAAGGUAGGCAGCCGGUACCCGCCGUUGUCCACUCUUCUCCGCUCACGUGCUUGCUCGGCUCCCUUGACAAUGCACCUUCCUUGGAAUUUCUUUUAUGUAAUUGCCCGUGAUGUGUAGGAAAUGGAGAAGACAAAACCAUUUGUGAAGAGCGCACGGAUCAAUGAAUGAUGACAUGGGCAAGUGCGAUGAAGACUGAUGUUGACAACUGUUCUCAGAGUAAGGCCUUUGGCUUUAAAGCCAAGCCCUAAGUAAGCAACAAGCAAAUCUAACACACAAGCUGCAGGACGAAUCUAGAAAAAUAUUCAGAAAGGGCUUUUUCUACCUUAAGAUAGCUUUAGGCCAUUUUUAAAAUACAUCAAUACCAAAAAAAAUUAUAGAAGGGGCUAAGAGAGGGUUCUAUAGGUUCGACGACCAUAGGUGGGCUAGAGCCCCGGCAGCCCCACCGCUAGCUCCGUCACUACCUGCACAAUAGACUAGUCUCUUGUUUUCUUGUAGAACAUAUUUUUUAAUUGUAUACGGGUCCAACUUAUCUUCACCUUUUUCCAAUCUCUCGUACUUUCCUCCAUCGUCUUUGGCCCUGUUUGGUUCCUCUCGCUAAAUUUUUAGGUAGCUAAAAUUAUUUUAGCUAUUCUUGAGUAAUUAGUAGGACUAAAUUAUUUUUGCUCUUUUUUAGUUAGUGUGUUUGGAACUUUAGCUACUAAAAUAAUUAAAGUUUAACUAGCUAACAUUUAGCGAGAGAAUCAAACAUGCCAGCAUCUGAGGGGAAGAGCUGGACUCGCGACAAGACAAGAAGCAGAGGCGCUCGAAUGAGCCCUCGCCUCCUGCGUAGAGCUGGAGGGCACAUGGCCUCCUUUUUACUUCUACAGAGCAUGAACCAUGGUAGACACUACAUAUAACCUUGCAAGGGAUUUGAGAAGGAUUAAGUCCAUAUUUGGCCCCUCAACUAUCGGCCGAGUUUAAUUUUAGCCGCCAACUCUGAAACCGUCUAGACCUGGCCCCCCAUCUUUCACACUGGUCCAACUUUAGUCCCUGAGUCCGGUUUUGGGCAACGGACCCUGGUUUUGCUUGCCACGGUGGCAACAUUGAACACGGUGGACGCCAUGUAGGCUUGCAGCAUUGCUUAAACAGGCCGGCCCAUUCAGCCCAUGUCUCCAGCGACCGAAACCCUAACCCCAUCCCCCUUCCUCCGCCCGCCGUUUGUCUGCGUCGCCGUCGCCGUCGCCGUCGCCGCGGGCGAUUCCCCCACUGAGGUCUCCCCUGCAUCGGCCUUCGGUACCGAAUGCAUUGAAACAACAGGUAUGUAUCAUGGUCUGUAUCAUGAGCUUGGUAGAUUAGUGGAUAGCCUAGAUUAGUCCAUGGUAUGUAUCAUGAGCUUGUGAUUUUCGGUUGUAGGAAUGGAUCCUUUGGAAUUUCUUGCUGUUAGAUUUCACUUCGAUGGUCAGUUUUACAAUGAUGGGAGGAGGUUGCAUUACAUUGGGGGUAAAGAGGAGUUGUCAUUUGUGGAGAUUGACAAGAUGUCAUUGCCCGAAAUACAGGGCCAUCUUAAAGACCAUUACAAUUGUAGUGACCCUGUUACACUGCACUGGUUGUUUCCUGGGAAAAUGUUAUCAAAUGGGCUCAGAGUGUUGAUGGAUGACAAGGCAUGCAUGGAUAUGUGUCAGGCUAUUACUGAUGGAGGGGCUGCUGAUAUAUUUGUUGAGCGUGUUUUGGAAGAUGAUGCUGAGCAAUCUGUCAACUUAGAAAAACUUUCUGCGUAUAUUUCUUCUCCUGAGAAGAUUGAGAAAGAAGUAGCUCAAUAUAGUAAGUACAUUGAUUGGAUUAGGGACAGUGAUGAUGGUAAUGAGGUUGUCAAGGCAAAAAGUCAUUGAUGCAAGAAGUGUCAGUUAAUGACUCAGCUCCAGUGGAGGAAGGGUACAGUUCACAUAGUGAUGAUAGUGACCAGUCUUACUUGCCUGGUGAUGAUGAGAGUAGUGAAGAUGAUGAAGAGGCAGGCCAAAUCAGAGCAGAUUUGAAAGAGCUAAAGAAGAAAUUGAGUGACAGAGGAAUGGUGGUGGUAGAUGAUGAAGGGCAUGAAGUCAAUGUGGAGAACUUGAUGCCAUCCAAUCCAUUUGCUGAGGGGGUUGGAGUUGAGUCUGAUUCAACAGAAGUGGACACAGAUGAAGAUGCAGAUUCAUAUGAUGAAGAGGAGGGUGAGGUGAUCAGGAAGAAGAGGGAAUUUCCCAGGUUUGAUGGUAGUGCUGAUGUGCCAACUUUCAGUCUUGGCAUGUCAUUUCCUGACAAAGCUACAUUCAGGGAGGCUGUCAUCAAAUAUGGUUUGGCAGCAAGGAAAGUGUUAAAGUUUGUUAAGAAUGAGGCUGCGAGGUGCAGGGUUGUUUGUACUUGGCCUAAGUGUCCAUUUGUCUUGCUCCUAUCCAAGACAUCUAGGGCUGAGAGCUCACAGUUAGCUACAUGCAUAGACAACCACACUUGUCCACCUAGGAGGGACAACUCUCUAGUUACUUCUAAGAAAAUUGCAGACAAGUAUGAGAGGAUGAUUAAAGCAAACCCACAAUGGUCUAUUCAGAGCAUUAGAGAAACAGUCCAAGAAGAAAUGUUUGCUGAUGUCAGUGUUUCAAAGAUCAAGAGAGCUAAGUCAAUUGUCAUGCAGAGGAUGUAUGAUGCCACCAAGGGUGAAUAUGCAAUGGUGUUUGAUUACCAGCUAGAGCUGCUUAGGAGCAAUCCAGGAAGCACUGUGGUAGUUAAGUUAGAUACUGAAGAGGCAGAGCCUACAUUUAUGAGGUUUUAUGUCUGCUUCGAUGCUUGCAAGAAGGGGUUCCUUGCUGGAUGCAGGAAGGUUAUUGGAUUUGAUGGAUGCUUUUUCAAGGGCCUGACCAAUGGAGAACUGUUAUGUGCUCUAGGAAGAGAUGCCAACAAUCAAAUGUACCUAAUUGCAUGGGCCGUGGUAGAGAGAGACUAAAGACUCCUGGGACUUUUUUCUAGCUUUACUCAGUGCAGAUCUGAAGUUUGGAGAUGGAACUGGUUGGGUUUUCAUUUCUGAUCAGCAAAAAGGUCUUAUCAAUGCUGUCAACAAGUGGGCUCCUAGAGUAGAGCAUAGGAUGUGUGCUAGGCAUAUCUAUGCCAAUUGGAGGAAAAAAUUCACCAAUAAGAAGUAUCAGAAGCUGUUUUGGAGGUGUGCCAAGUCCUCAUCUAUGAAUCUCUUCAACUACAACUUGAACAAGCUCAGGGCUGAGACACCUAAAGGUGCUGAUGCAAUUAUGCAGAUAGAUCCUAAGCAUUGGAGUAGGGCCUGGUUCAAACUAGGUUCUUGCUGUGACUCAGUGGAUAAUAACAUGUGUGAGUGCUUCAACCACUGGAUUUUGAAAGCAAGAUUCUUGCCAAUAAUCAGCAUGCUUGAAGGCAUAAGGCGCCAGGUAAUGGUCAGGAUACAUGAAAAUAGGACCAAGGCUGAAAGGUGGACUGGUCCAAUCUGUCCAAACACCUACAAGAAGUUAAUGACUUACAUUACAGCUAGUGGUUUCUGUCAUGCAAUUAGUAAUGGCCAAAACUGUUUUGAAGUAACAUACUGGGAUCAUAGGUUUUCUGUGAACUUGGAGGAAAAGACAUGUUCUUGUAGGUUCUGGCAGUUAUCUGGUCUGCCAUGCCCUCAUGCAAUUUCUUGCAUCUAUGUAGCAUCCAAGGCUGUGGAGGAUUAUGUAGCCAAGUGUUAUUUUUUUGAGGAAUACAAUAAGACAUAUGCCCACUGUCUUCAACCUGUUGAAGGUAGGGAAUUCUGGCCAGUAUCAGACAGGGCUAAGCCUUUGCCACCAAAGUAUGUUAGAAUGCCAGGAAGGCCAAAGAAGGAGAGGAAAAGGCAGGAUGGGGAGAAAAAAAGCCAAGUCGUGGUAAGCUAUCCAAACAUGGUACAGUUGUGAGGUGCAGAGUUUGCAAAGGGAUUGGACACAACCGGACAACUUGCAGCAGGAAGACAGGAAGUGGAGGUAGUGGCACCGGAGCUAAUGUCAGUGGUGGAGGCCAAGUACCUAGUGGCAGUGCUAGGGGAUCUCAUCAUGCAAGAGGAGGUAGUACCAGUGGAACUAGAGGAAAUGACUCUCAUUCAACUAGAGCAAGGACUGGUAAUUCCAAGAGGAAGGCAACACCUUCUUCUACAUCAGUGUCCACCAAAAGGCAUUGCUCCCAGUUGUCUGUUGAUUGCAAUGUAAGUAAAGUAAGUACAAUUUUGUACGAAGAUACUAUAGUUCCAAAUGGGUAACAAUCUAUUUGUACUCUGCAGACUGUGAACAAUUCCAUGUCUUCAUCAGCUAAGAUGACCACAAGACUCAAGCAAGGAGGUCAAGCUAAGGUCACUUUAGAGGCCACUGCACCUGGUAUGCCUGGAAGGCAUUCAAAAGCAACUGUGCAACUUUCUGGGCCAUCGAGCUCAAAGGUUGAGGUCUCAGCUAUAGGACCACACAGGAAAAAAAGUGCAAGGACAACACCAAGAGGAUCAGGCACAACACCAACUUUACUGCUGCAAGGAGCACUACCUUGAAGAAUAAACCAUUUCUGUCAUUGUCAUGUCACAAGGAAACUAUGUUUUCUUUUAGAACAAUUUGUCAUUUGUGUGGUGAACCAUGAGAUGUUGUGAACCAUGUCAUGUUGUGCUAAAACAAUUUGUCAUUUGUUUGGUGAACCAUGUGAUGCUGUGAACCAUGUCAUGUUGUGAUAAAACAAUUUGGCAUUCGUGUGGUCAUUCUAAUGUCUAUGAAUUUAGUCAUCAGCAUUGCAAGUACAGAUUGAACUGCCACAAACUAGGAUAAUUCUCAUAGCCGAAUAAGACAUACACAGUACACAAAUGCCAAAUAAGUCUUACAUUCAACGGCCACACACAGAAACUACAUACUUAAUACAUCCUACAUACUAAUUACUAAGCUUCCAAAAAGCAGAAACUAAUCCAACGCACACAACAAGAGCAAACAACAGGAACUUCCUCUCCUUCUGCAGCUUCACAAUCCUGGAUUCCAGCUGAGCCCUUGCAUCCAAAACACCCACCAUCUGACCUUGCAUAGUGGCGACAUCCCUACUGGCAUCAACAAACAUUUGUCUCCUAUCUUCAUUGAACUUGAUAGCGGCUUCCAACUGUCCCUGCAACCUUUGAUUCUCCCUCCCAGCAGCUUCCAACUGACCCUGCAGCCUCUGAUUCUCCAUGGUAGCAGCAUCCAAAGCUCUUGCAUGAUGAGUUCGGGCCUCUUCAAGUCCCCAUUCGGCUGCAAGAGUUUCACGCUUCCAAUACUUCACUGCAUCGCGCAAAUCAAGCAACAACUGCUUCAUGAACCCCAUGGUUGGCUCAUCCACCCAGCGGUAAAAAUCACAACCACCCUCCUACGCAGAAAAACGAAAUCUGAGAUCCAUUGACUCAAGGGGUCCUACAGCAUGUGAAUCGAAGACAAAUAUGCAAGACAAAUUGACCUAAAGUUUGAAGGAAAUCCAAGUUUGAACUUACUCGAGCACGCGCACACUUCUGAAACCUCAUCCCUGGGUUCAAAUCACUCCAAGAGAUGAACUGAGCGGCUUUGACACCACAUUUACAGUUCACUGCAGGGGUGUACUCCAGAGGAGCUUCACGGUAUGGGAUGGGGGACGCGGAUUGGAGGUUCCGGCGCCAAUACUCUGCCGCUUGGCCUGCACUGCGGCUGGAAGAGCUUGAGCUCGCCAUUUGAGUCGGGGGAGCUCUCCACAACAGAUCUGGAGGGCCUCUCGUCGGCGGCGGCGGAGGAGGAGGAAGACAGAAUGGUGGGGGUGAGAGACGGGCUGAAUGGGCCAGCCUGUUUAAGCAAUGCUGCAAGCCUACGUGGCGUCCACCGUGUUCAAUGUUGCCACCGUGGCAAGCAAAACCAGGGUCCGCUGCCCAAAACCGGACUCAGGGACUAAAGUUGGACCAGUGUGAAAGAUGAGAGACCAAGACUAGACGGUUUCAGAGUUGGCGGCUAAAAUUAAACUCGGUCGAUAGUUGAGGGGCCAAAUAUGGACUUAAUCCAUUUGAGAAAUAAGGGAAUAAUAUGUAGAGUACUGCCACGUUACCAGAGAUAAGACCCAGAUUAAGGGGGUGUUGGAGACUGCUCUUCUCUACGUUUUCUAGCUCUGCUCCACGGUUUUUAGCCAAACGAUUUCAGCUCCACGCACUCAAUUCGAGAAAAAAGGAUGGAGUUGUGAGAGCACCUAAAGAGGUACUCCACAAACCUCAGUUUUUUAUGGAGCUGAUCCACAGUGAAAUUUGUGGAGCAGAGUUUGUGGAGCAGUCCCAAACACCCUCUAAUACCUUUUCUGAUAGAUGAAACCCCUGAUGAGAUUGGUAUUAAUUUGUGAGUGUAGUUGUCAGUGCCUCAAUGGUCUGACAUAACUGUAAUUCAUUUGUCUACCAAUAGUUUCACACUAGGAUGUUCUUCAUUAAGUGUUGGGCUUUCUUUCUAACAGCUUACUGCUCUAUUAUUAUCUUCUACAAGAUUAUACGCUGACUUCUUCCCAUACCUGUGGAUGGGAACAUAACUUGUUUUGCAGGUUAUGUGAGGAAAAUUACAUUUCGUGAUGACAUUCAAAAGAUAGACGACCUAGACAGUGGCAAACUACCAUAGUUUGAAAGGUUUGAAGUCAUUCGGCUGCUGUAGUUUUGUAACUGCUGCCGAAUAGCUUGUGCUCACAACCUACAAAUUGACCAAUGAUUCUUUCCAGUGCAUAGUCUACUGUUCAGGAUGAUACAUGGAGGGGUCGUUCUUUUAAGUAUUGUAAACUUUGCGUUAAAAAAAAAACAUUGUAAACUUAGCAAUGGUGCCUAAUAAUUGUACUCAUUUUACCUCUGUUGUUUGCUUACAGAGAUGAUAACGAUCGAUAUUCAGAAAAGAAAAUAAUAGAUUUCAAGGGGAUUCUUCCCUCGGCUGUAUAUAUAUAAAACCUUUUUGGUUUGCUGUACGUUCCCAAGCAGCUUCGUAUUAGAAUCUUAUACUUCGCACGUUGGCAUGGUCCAUCUGUUGCCCUCCUUUCUGGUUUGAGAUUGCCUACGCUGCAGGUUCUGGAGGAAUCCCACAUUCUGAAACUUUCUGCAGCUCUCAGGCAUAUGUAUUAUCGCAAACUUUGCUGAUGGCAGGCGACAUAUAAACUUUGACGAAGGGCAAGCUAGCCAGCAGCUGACCAAUUAUUCAUCGCAAAAAUGUCUCAUCUGAGCAUCCUCUCCUUCAAGUACAAUCUCGCGAAGCUCCGGUCCAAGGCCGGCCGGCCAAUUGGGCGGCCGCUGUCGGCCAGGGACCGCCAGUACUCCGACCUGAGCACCUACAAGCCCGACGACGAGGAGAUGAAGAAAGUUUUCAGCAUGAUAGCUGGCCAAUCCCACGGGAAGAUCAGCAAGAAAGACCUGCAGCUGCUGCUGGAGAGGUUCGGGAAGGCGGACGCCGCCGCCGAGGCCCGGCGGAUGAUGUGCGUCGCGGACCACAACAAGGACGGGUACAUGGACCUGGAGGAGUUCAUGGAGGUGCACCGGAACGGCGUGCAGCUCGGGGACAUCCGUCGGGCCUUCUUCGUGUUCGACAGGAACGGGGACGGCAGGAUCAGCGCGGAGGAGGUCAUGACGGUGCUGUGCAACCUCGGGCAGAGCUGCAGCCUGGAUGACUGCCGGAAGAUGGUGAGGGAGGUCGACAGGAACGGCGAUGGCUUCGUGGACAUGGACGAGUUCAUGGUCAUGAUGACUCGCCCGCGGAGGAAGCCGUGAGCACCGAGCUUGCUUAGCUUCCGUGCACGUCGUGAUGUAAAUAUGCCAUGCAAUUCAUAUCCUGAAUAAUAUGAUGAUCAGAUUGAAAUCAGCUAUCUUCUCUCCUGUCAUCUGUCACUGCUCUUUGCAGUUGCUCGUUUGCUCUGCACAGUAGAAUUCCCGCUGCAACAACAGUUGCUUCUUCAUCCGGAAGAACACAGAAUGGUAGUACACACUAGCGAUUACAGUCUUGUCGAUGACCUGACAACUUGCCGUGUCUGACGUAGAGAUGAAUCCAAUAAAGCUACUGAAACAAAUAAUCGGUGCCCAUGAAACUUUAACCUUUUUUUUGACAAAAAUGGGGGGGGGGGGGGGGGGGGGGGGGGUUCCCCACCUUGAGAUCAAUAUAAUCGAGAGUUCUCCAGCAAACUGGAGUUAACAGAGAUACACGAAAGAAGAAAAUCACGCCAGCCGACUGUUUACAAGAGUUACAUUAGUAAGACGUUUACGCCAAAUUAAUGGAGAACUUGAGUUAAUGCCCAUGAAACUUUACCAAAAGUUUCAAAGUCAAUGCAAAGGUUGUAGGCUUGUAGCGCAUGCAUGGCAAGUUGAAACCUAACACGGGCUGUUAUCCUCCUUGCUGAGUUGUCGUUAUGCUCUUUUUUACGUUUUUUUUGUAGGGUUCGUUUCAACUUUAUAUUACAUUUUCUUAUUAAUAAAUAUAUGUACUCCUUAUGUUAAAAAAAAUCUAAUACUCCAUUAAUUUGUUCCAAAUGGUAAAUUGUCUUGGCAUUUUUAGUUACAUAUCUUUUAAUUGCUAUGGACAUAGAUAUAUACUAUAUCUUGAUAUAUAUACUAUCUCUCUAGAAAAAUAUUUUCUUUUAUAUUAAUAUAUAAUGGAAAAACUUUUGCUGUUUUUUCUUAUAAUAAAAGGAUAAAAUGACUAAUAAUUUGGAACGGAACAGAGUGAGCACAACUUUCUUCAAGCAGCACCAAGCCGGUACCACGAGAAAAACAAAGCGUGUACGGUUGCAGAGUUUAGACGAGAGGGCAAUAAUGCAAGGCCUUUCAGCAUCCUAUUCCAUCUCCUUUUAACAAGAUAGCACUAUACAGUGUACAGUAUGCCCGAUUUUCCUCUCUUUGCAGAUUCCAACUGCACAUUGUGCGGCUGCCUGUGCAUGGUUUACCCACGACACCAUCAAUCAGCUUGCUGGAUGAUGAAUGCAGAAGCUCAUAUCUUCAGCUUUUAAUUUUGUUCUUUUUCAGCCACUUGGGUGCAGAUUCUUGCUCCAUUCAACGAGUAGUGCACGAGGAUCUAGACGCCCCCAUCUGAUCGGCGCGCGAUACAGAUGCCGUUGUGCUCUUGGACCUGGCAGUGGCCUAUUUGUCGACCACCAAAUCUGCGUAGAGAAUAAGCUAAGCAGCAAAAGGUGCCAACAAAGCUAGCUAGGCAGGGGUAAGAUACAAUACAAGCCGUGAUAAACGUUACCCCCAGAAAAAAGUGACGGCUGCAGGUGUUGUAUCGCACGCAACAGCCUUGCCAAAUUGGCUUGCUUAUAUAAGAGCAAUAGGUCUCAACAAGUUGCUGCACACACACACAUACAGGAAGAAAGGGGUAUAGGUCAUUUGCAGAGGAGCUAGCUUUUUUUGUGCUGGUAGUGUUGUGAGACGCUCCUGCUGCUGCUGCUGCCGCCGCCGCCGCCGCUCGACCGAUCGAUGGCGAUCAAGAGCAUGACGGUGGCACCGACGACGACGCGGUCGCUGGACGCGGACAUGACGGUGGACGAGUUCAAGGAGUGGCUGCGGCGGUUCGACACGGACCGGGACGGGCGCAUCAGCCGCGAGGAGCUGCGGCGCGCCAUGCGCGCCAUCCGCGCCCGGUUCUCGGGGUGG
RNAcentral lists this long non-coding RNA (85502 nucleotides) under Sorghum bicolor (sorghum). RNAcentral describes it as "long non-coding RNA (SBIC_LNC003640)". The record is from RNAcentral. Lineage: Eukaryota; Viridiplantae; Streptophyta; Magnoliopsida; Poales; Poaceae.